This 67393-nucleotide long non-coding RNA is filed under the name Gossypium barbadense (sea-island cotton). Its description in RNAcentral is "long non-coding RNA (GBAR_LNC014685)". The stretch from base 61633 to 61704 matches the Rfam family "tRNA". The record is from RNAcentral. Lineage: Eukaryota; Viridiplantae; Streptophyta; Magnoliopsida; Malvales; Malvaceae.
GGUCGGUGGUUCUUAUGAAGCUUGGUAUGUCCUUGAGACGCAUGUUAGGCAUACCAGGGAUCCAAUCAAUGGGCAUCUCAAGUGUCCCAUCGCUAACAAAGCGUUCAUCUACAACGAAAAUAAAACGCAUGUUUUUGUUUCAAUAUGCAAAAAAAUAAGCAUGGAACAUGUUGCGUGUAACUUAACCCAUAGAACUUCAAAGAGAUUAUUAUCAAUGAACAUAAGAUAUCCCAAAAUUAAGUUACAAAUUACAAAGAAAAUAUAAAAUAUGUAACCUUUGAAUGGAACAAUGCCUCUUUGAGCUAGUUCUUUGUAGUGCAGAAAUCCCAGAAAGCUAACGGUUGAAGAAGUCCAGAGUUGAACAUAAGGCACCCCAAUGAGUUGAGCUGCCUUGGUACCAAAGUCCAUGGUUCCAUCACAAACUAUGCAUGUAACAGGCGGCAGGUGGGGUGAGGAAUUAAGCUUAGAUAGUAGCUCCAAGAAUGGAGCCAAACAAUUUUUCCGUGUGGAAUUGCAUAGUGCCGGAACAGACUGAGUCGCAUCAGAAUCGGAAGGUGGCAGCCCGUCGGGUAUGGCUUCGAACCGGAAAUGAGGCAGACCCUUAACAGCUUCUUCCCCUCUAGACCGUAUAAAUCGUCUAUGAUUGAACUCGGAGUUGACAAAGGUUAUAUGGAAGCCUCUAGAGUGCAAGAGCUUGGCCAGUUGCAUCAUGGGGUUAAUAUGACCUUGUGCUGGGCUUGGAAGACAUACUGCAUGCGAUUUAAUUGAAUCCAUCUUUCUGCAAAUAAUAAUUAAGCAAUGAAGUCAAGUAGCUAGUGAAAAUUGAAGAUAAUAUGUUUUUGGUUGAGAAAAUAUCAACUGCUUCCCUCCAGUGCUGGGUAUUAUAUAUGACUGAAUCUUGUGUCAUCAAACCCGAAGGAUACACGUUUCUAUUUUUUAUUUAAAAUAAUUAGUUUUCAUUCCUCCAUUGCACAUGUAUAUUUAAUUGCUAGAACAAUAUAUAUAAAAAAUUAAUUAAAUAUUAGAAAAUAUAUUUAAUAAAACAAAAAGUAAAUAUAAAAAACUAAUCUUAAAUUAUAUUAAAGUUUAUUAAUAAAUAAAACAUAUAUUUACUAUAAACAUAUCAAAUGCAAUAAUGAAAUAAUGAUUAGUAGUAUUCAUAAAAUAUUAUUAUUUUAAAUAAACUAGUCAUGUAAUUUUAGUAAGUUCUUUUUUGCCACUGUAAAUGAAAAAUUUUCAGAAAAGGCAUUACUGUUACAAAUCGUUUUCAUUUUGAUCGUCUGUCAUUAAUUUGGUGUUAAACCAUUUUAUUGUACACUUAUUUUAUAAUCCAACUUUAGUAAGUAAUUUUCAUUUUGGUCCCACAAUUUAUUUUUAUAAAUUUAUUUUUAUUUAUAUGAACCACCUAGGUUAUUAUAAGGAAAGCAUUGGGUUUUAACAAGGAAAACCCUUAAUAAAAUUUUAAUUUCCUUUAUUUUUUUAUUUUUUAGAAUUAUUUUAUUUUUUCUCAAUAAAUGAAAGAUAUAGGUUUUUCAAAAAAUAAAAAUAAUUCAAAAAAUAUAAGAGACUAAAAUGAAAAAUUAUUAAAUUUAGAUGACUAAAUGUACAAUAAUAUUGUCUAACCUCAAAUUAAUGGUGGGUGACCCAAGUGAAAACGGUUUGUAAUGAAAGUGCCUAAAAAUUUAUAAAAGUUAAGUAAUUAACUGAAUAGUUUAUUCUAUUAUUUUAUAUAAAACACAUAUUACGGAUCAAGUGCUAAUAACUAUAAUUAUUAAUACUCAUCUACUAUUAAUAAAUAAUUUAUUAUAAUAUAUGAAAAUAAAAUUAAAUAGUGAUUCUAUUAUUUUUGGUGGAAAAUAGAAAAAUACAAGAAUUAAUUUAUGCCAACUGGCCUAACUCUCCAAAUGGGGGUUUUCCAAACAUUUGCAAAUCUUGGCUUCCCGAGUGAGCCAUCUUGGUAAGUUUAUCAGCUUUGUGAUUUUCUGCUCUGGAUAUAUAAUAAAUAUUCCAAUGAAAAAUCUGAGACAGUAAUUGAAGAAUCCUUCUAAUUAGAGCUGUAUUGGCCUCUCCUGUAGAACUCUCCCAAAUAGCCAUCACCACUUCAAGACUAUCCGUUUGAAUGAAAUUAAGAUCCAAACUGGAAGUAAUAAUAUUUAAAAAUGAAAGUUUUUUAUUCUUAAUAAUUAAAAUAAUGCAUAAUUUAGUAAUGAAUGAAUUUAGACAUGGUGGAUAACAAUUGGUAGAGAUGCCGCGAAAAUACACUCAGUUAUUUUGAUACGUUAAUCUAUUAAUGGCUCCUUUUCGUUUUCCUAAAGUGGCUGCUCUAAUAUAUUGACUCCUCAAAUGUUGCUUGUCCCUACUAUUAAAAAAAAAAUCUUUUGUUUAUUGUCUUUUCUUUUUAAUUUCCUUUCAAGUAGUAAUCAAGAUAUUCAAGGUUAGCAAUAAUGACUAAUCCCUUCAUCACGAGUACUCUUCUGUAAGGAAUCGAACCUCCAACAACAUAGUUAAUAGAUGAUGAAGUAGGCAACUGCGACAUGACACCUAUCAUUUCGAAUAUUGUGUGGUCAAAAAUGAAAGAUUAGGUGAGAUAGAACAUGAGGGCAUGUUAAUAGAUGAUGAAGUAGGCAACUGCGACAUGACACCUAUCAUUUCGAAUAUUAUGUGGUCAAAAAUGAAAGGUUAGGUGAGAUAGAACAUGAGGGCAUGUUAAUAGAUGAUGAAGUAGGCAACUACGGCAUGAUACCUACCAUUUUGAAUAUUGUGUAGUCAAAAAUGAAAGGUUAGGUGUGAUAGAACAUGAGGGCAUGUAUAGUUUUUCCACAUCGAUGAAGUGUCCUUUCACUCAAAAUAUGUAAUUUUAUCUUUUUUCUAAACUUUUUUCGUGAAAAUAAUAUAGAAUAAUAAUUUAUUAAAAUAAUAUAAUAAUUUUUUAUGGACCAAAAUAAUCAUUUUUGAAUAAUGUUUGACAAGUCUAAUAUCAAAUCAUCACUGCAGCAAAACAAGCUUUUAGCGGCAUUUUUUAAGCCUAUAGUGGCGCUUAAAAGCGCCGCUAAAAGAAUUUGCGGCGCUUUCACAAGUGCCGCUAUAGACAAUGUCGCUAAAUUUGACGGCGUUUUUUUCACAUAACGCCACUAAAGAACAUGACCUUUAGCGGUGCAUUUAUCACAAACGCCACUAAAAGAACCGUUCUUUAGUAGCAUUUUAGAAAAAACGCCACUAAUUUUGGCAGAUUUGUAACAUUCAAUUUUCAUCCAUAUACAACCCUUUCUAUAGCAUGAAAUCCAACCAAAAACAACAAAUCUAAAUGAUACUUCAAAUUCAACGAAAGAUAUAUGAUAUAAAGUGAUAACUAAAGUAUAAUUCAAAAUAUUCUUACAAUAAUGUUAAAAGAUACAAUGUUAAAAAUAUUCUUACAAUAAGAAAACUGUAAUAGGCCAAUUUUGGCCUGGCUAAAAAACCAUUUACAUAGCCCAAAUAAUUCGGCCCAAUAAGGCCCAAAUUGCUAGCCCAAAAAACACAAAGAGUAUAGCAGAAACCCUAGUAGCCGCCACAGCAAUCUCAUCCUCGCACGCCGCCGCAAAUGUCGCAUAUGCACCUCCAACCAUACUUGCACAUCAAGAAAGAAAUAAACAGUACAUGGAAAGAAAAAUCCAAAGAUUGCGAAUCUAGAUCGAUAUGAACAGAUUUACUUUCUAUGUUAUUGUUUUAUUGUGGCUAUAAAAAAAGCCAUUGAUACACUGUAAUGAGUGGCCGAAAAAUUAAUAAAAAAGAAUCAUUUUUACAGCACCAACAAAGAAUCAAUCGAAACUAAAGGUGGAUAUUUUCGUUUUGUUAUUUUUUUAUACACUGAUAUUAAAUAAAAUAAAAGAGAGAACUUAUCUGGGUUCGGACCUGCGGCGUUGCGGGCGAUCGAGGGUGCCACCCCCGAGGAUUGGUGGCUGAAAACUGAAAGGUUUCUGGACUCCCUUGCGGUUUUUGAUGGUUUUUUUUGGGACUUUUGAACCCAGAUUUGGGUUUAGAGAGGUUGAGGGAGCUGAAUAGGGAAUUUUCCCCUUUUUCGACCACCGUAGACGACGGUGCCGGCGAUGGAGAUCGGCGGCCGACAAGGUGGCCGACGAUCGGACUGGAGGCCAGACGACUGGGGAAGGGGAAAGCUUUUGAAGUGUUUUUUUUUUGUUUUUUUUAAAAGAGGCUGCAAAUGAAAAUUUUUAGAGAAGUAGUGGCUUAAAUAGCCCUCCAAAACGGCGUCGUUUUGGACAUGGGUCGACCUGACUCCAACCCGACCCGGCCUAGGAUCCGCGUGUUUUUGCGCGGAGGGGUAUAUUGCGCUUUUAGCCCCUCCACCUUUUAAUAUUUUUACAAUUAAGUUUAUUUUAUUUUUAAAUUUCGUCUUUAAUUUAUUUUUAAUUUCAAUUUGGUCUCUGUGGAACGGCGCCGCUUAGAGAAAAAGGGAAAGUUUCCCUUCAGUCCCUCCAUGAUUAUUCGCGCGUUCAAUACAGUCCUUUGGGAUUUAAUUAUUUGCGAAUUUGCCCCAGUUUUUUAUUUUACAAUUCAAUUUAGUUUUUUAUUUAUUUUUUUAUUAAUUGAUAAUGUAAUUAUUAUUUUCAUAUGUAAUUAUUAUUUCUUUUUAUAUAUAUAUGUAUAUUUAUGUAUAUAUUUAUUUCCAUGUAUAUAUACGUAUAUUUUUGAAUAUAAUGUAGUUAUUAUUUAAUUUAUUUUUAUAUAUAAUUGUAUAAAUGUAUAUAUGUACUUAUUUUUUUUUAUUUUUUUCAAGCUAAUAUUUGUUAUAUUUAUAUAUGCACAUAUUUAUUUUCGAUCAUGUAUUUAUUAUUUUUAAUCUAUAUAUAUAUUGUAAAAAAACAAAUAUUCUUUUAUAUUUAUGAACACGUAUAUAUCCCUUUUUUAUUUUCAAAAAAUGCUUAAAUAUCUACUUAUAUUUUAACACAUAUUUUAUAAUUUAUAUAUAUAUAUAUUUCUAUACUCUUCUUUAUUUUCACAAAUAUGUAUUUUGUUUAUAUAAAUUUUUAUAAUCUAAAUUUUAUGUAUAAAUUCAUGUGUAUUCUUCAUAGUUUUAAUGUAUAUGUCAUGUAACUUUUAUUCUUUAUAUUUUUUGUUUAUUUUAUUUAUUUAUUUAUGUUUUCAUUAAUUUUUUUAUCUUGCUCGUUUAUUUAAUACUUUGCAUGUCAUUAACUUUUUUCUCCCUUAUGUAUAUUUGUUUCGUUUAUUCAUUUGUUUAUAUUAUUUCUAUACUAUUGUUGUAUUUGUUAUCACGAUAUUUGCACAUAUAAUAUAACGUUACAUCAUCUUUUACUCAAAUUUAAAAAUAGAAAAUUUUCAAAAUUGAGAUAAUGCUCGUAUUUAGGAUUUUCAAGGAAAUUGAGCCCUAACGUAUUGGGUUCCGAUUUUCUUCGUUAAAUCUAACAAUCGAGCAUUUCUCUUUAAUCAAAAAAAUAAGAACUCGUUAUUGGGAAUUCAACACGUUGUGUCCUAACGUAUUGGAUGUGACGCACUGAUUUCUCGAAAUGAAGAUUUUUUCUAAAAAAACAAUAAAGGAAAUAUUCCGAGUUUGGGAUUUUGAAGGAAUUGUGCCCUAAAGUAUUGGGCCGCGAUUUCUUAAAUCUUGAAUAAAUGGAUAUUCUUUUAAAUUUUUAUUACACGAGUAUUCUGGCCUAAUUCAUUUUUAAGGAAAUUAGAAUGUCGUGCCCUAACGCAUUGGGUGUGGCAUUUUCUUUCUCUGAAAUGAUAAGGGCCUUAAUAUGUAACGUUUUUAAGUUUUUGCUAAGGAUUAUAUUUUUCAAAUUUUCGACAUUAAGACAUUAAUUAAUUAACUAGGUACCAAUUUUUGGGCGUAAUGAAGGUGCUAAUUCUUCCUCAUACGUAACCGACUCCUGGACCCGUUUUUCUAAAAUUCGUAGACCAAAUUCGUUUUUAGGUGACCCAAUCACACCUUAAUAAAAGAUUGGUGGGGACUCCCAAUUCUUCCAAUUUUAAUUGACAACUAAUUUUUGUUUUCUUCCAAAAAUAAAAAUGGUUUCGACAGCUUGGCGACUCCGCUGGGGACUUUUGAGAGUCGAGCCACAAAGUUGAUUAAUUUUUGUCUUAUAGUCGAAAAAAUGAAACUUGUUUUAAAAAUCCUCUUGCAUACAUUAUUUUCAUGCUUAAUUGAUCUAAGUACUUUAAAUUGUUUUUUUUUGCAUUGUACAUUACAUAUGUUGGAUAAUUUUACCCUCUAAGUGGGAGUGAGAAACUAUUCCUUCGUGAGGUUUUCACCUUGGUAUAGGAUAGUGGAUCGCUUUCGGGAUACAUCGGUACCUAUGCCUUCGUGAGAUUUUCAUCUCCGUAUAGCCAUAGGGAAAAUGUGUCCCCCUGAACCGAACUUGAUCUAUAUGAGCCUAUAAUGGGUGAAGAUCGAGGACUCUGCUGGUUCGGGUACCUUUACUUUAGAACUGAACCGCAUAUAGUGAGCCUUAGGAACUUGCCCUAGGUAGAACUAUGCCAAACCCCUAGAGGUCACCUGAGUAGGUACUUUAUUUAUUUGCUUUUACUUUGUACUAACUUGUUUUUUAUAUUGUUAUUGUUAUGAUUGCAUUACACUUGCAUCUUAAAAAAGAGGUGUUGAUUCACGUUCAGUUGCUAAAUAGAGAGCUUGUCAUAAGAAAAUAGGUUUCUUGAUAAAGUGGAUGACAAUAUGGUUGUCCGAAUAUGGUCCAAGAACACGUGAUAAGAGAAGGAUGAUAAUUUAAUGGAGGACUACACGACUAUGGCUCCAUUGCCCAAGGAUUCAAGAUGGUAAAGAUUAUUCGAGAGCUGCUGAACCUUCUUAAAGAGAAGCCAACGAGCAUCACGAGGAUGAGUGAGCAACAAGUUACGGCCUGGAUUGAGCAAAAAAGAGAUAGAAGAGACGUUUUUUUGAAGAGUUUGUGAGAUUUAUCUUAACGCUCGAAUGAAGAAGAGGAUCGAAUAUCUCCGCCUAUGAGGGCAAGGCCGUAUAAAUAUUCAUUUUAUGUAAAGAGAUUUGUUUUCUAAUAAAGAUUUCUAAAUAGAAUUGAAUCAGAAUCAACAUCUCUUUAUGCAUUUAUUGCAUGCAUUCGCAUUGCAUGACAUCAUAAACAUUAAAGUCCACUAAAAGAGCCUAAUCGAUUAAAAUCAUUCCUCAGUUAAUCUGGAAACCAACCAACUUGCCAAACACUGCUACGGUACUCGAUCAAAGACUAAAGACAUGAACCAAAGGCUAGAAUAGUUCCAAAAAGAAAUGCAGGAUCAGCUUCAACAACAAGUGAAUUAGCAGCUUGAGAAGAUUCAACAAAAAAUGAUAGAUAAAAUAAUGGAAUCCCAAAAUAAUAUGAUGGCAAAGCUAACCCAACUGUUGACUGGAGGAGGUGAUAAGGGAAAUGGUUCCAUGGCUAAUGUCGAAGAGGGUAUUGAGGAUGAACCCCUCUAUCCUCCAAGCUUUACUCCUCCACAUGUGCGAGUUCAAGCUGAAUAUACGCACAAACCUACUAUCACAAUCAGGCCUCAGCAGUCCUAGGCCGGUGCUUCAAACUUUCAAGCUGGAUUAGGCUCUAACCCCGGAAACAACCCUACUAUAUCCGCCAUUCCUGACUUUGAUGAAGUGACUGAAAAGGAAAGAUUAAAGGAGGAGUUACCAAGACGGUUAGAGGAAAGGUGCAAAUGGCUCGAGGAGAAAUUCAAGGCGAUGAAAGUCACUGAAAGCUAUUGCGGGAUUGACGCUAAAGAGCUGAGCUUAGUUCCAGAUUUAGUACUCCCUCACAAGUUUAAGAUGCCAGAAUUCGAGAAGUACAAUGGGACAACUUGCCCAGAAGCUCAUAUCACCAUGUUCUGCAGGCGAAUGGCUGGAUAUGUUAGCCAUGACCAGCUAUUAAUACACUGUUUCCAAGAUAGCCUCGUAGGGGCAGCAUCUAAAUGGUACAAUCAACUGAGCCGUAGCACGAUUGGUUCAUAGAGGGAUUUAGCACAAGCAUUCAUGAAACAGUACAAUCAUGUAAUUGGCAUGGUACCAGAUAGAAUCAUUCUACAAAACAUGGAAAAGAAGUCCGGUGAAAGCUUUAGGCAAUACGCACAGAGGUGGAGGGAGAUCGCCGUCCAAGUUCAGCCACCACUCUUGGAAAGAGAAAUGACAAUGCUCUUUAUAAAUACAUUGAAAGCCCCGUUCAUCAUACACAUGUUAGGAAGUGCUACGAAAAGCUUUUCUGACAUAGUUAUGAAUGGUGAAAUGAUUGAAAGCGCCAUAAGGAGCAGAAAGAUUGAUGCUGGAGGAAAUAAUAGAAUGCAAGCCUCAAAGGAAAACGAAAGUGAUGUGAACAACGUGAAUACGUACAGAAAAUCGAUUGCUAAUUAGCAAGGUUCAUUAAGACAAGAACUUGGAGUGAAACAAGGUACUGAGAAGCUCCAGUUCACACCAAUUCCGAUGUUGUAUAAGGAGCUGUAUCAAAACUUGUUCAAUGCACACAUUGUUGCCCCUUCCUACUUAAAACCUCGACAACCUCCGUACCCCAAGUGGUAUGAUACGAGCGCACAAUGUGAUUACCAUGCGGGAAUUACGGGGUACUUAAUAGAGAAUUGCAUUACCUUCAAAAAGCUAAUUGAAAAAUUCAUCAACAUGGGUAUUGUCAAGUUGGAUAAUUCAUCUAAUCCGCUACCCAAUCAUGAUCGAUAAUGGAGUGAAUGCAAUAUAUGAAGAUGUGUUGGGAAUGGUUCACAUCAAUGUCAUAUAUGAAGACACAAUUGAAAAUGGACCUUGUUAGAUGUCCGCCCUUAUUAAUUUGGAAGUGUUCAAAAUCAUUGGAUUGCGGAAGAAAUCUCUGUAGUUUUUAGAGCUUAUUUAGAGUAAUGUUCAGAAUAUUCUUGUUGUUUUUAGCCUAAAAAUGAUAGGAAUUCCUUUGUGAAAUAGGCUCAUGUUUGAACAUCAUUAUUCUAAUAAAAUACAUCUUUGCAUUUAUUUUUUGAGCCAAUAUUCUUUCAUUCUUUGCGAGUAAUUAUUCUUUUAUUCUUUUGGAUUUUCUUCCACAUCAUUCUUUCAUUCAUAAUUAUAUUGUUCAAAUAAUUAUUCGUAAAUUCACACAUUCUUUUGUAUAUUCUUUUGUGCUUACUAUAGGUCCUCAGAUAUUAAGGACAUGAGUGACGCUGCUACAGAUUUCGAACCUUCUUUUGAGCGAGAUAUGUGUUUAGAGGGACUCAUGACUUUGAAGAUGACAUAUAUUGUAGCCUAUUUCCAGACUUGUUAAGGAUGGUAGAACAAGUCGAGAAACGGAUCUUACCCUACAAAGAAUCAUUGGGAUACAUGACUUCUCCUUAUGUGGGGCAUGAAGGUCAUUUGGUCGAUCUCGCCAAAAGAGUCUGACGGUCAUCAAUUCAUCUUUGUGAUCGUCAAUUACUUUACUAAAUGAGUGGAAGCUGCUUCAUAUGUCAAUGUCACAAAGUUGACAGUUAGCAAAUUUUUGAAGAAUCAUAUGGAACGCCAAAAGGAUCAUAUCUGACAAUGUACUAAAUUUGAGCAACAGCUCAAUAUCAAAAGUUUGUAGUCUGCUCACGAUUAAUGCCAUAUUGCCCUAAAAAAAAGAAAAAUGAGAGGCCAAGGUGAAAACCCGCAAAGGGCACCUUAAGACCAAAGGGGAUUUGAGUUGAAAACCCGAAAAGGGUGGCUCAAAUAUUGAUCAGAAUGGGGCACGAGGUGAUUAGAGCAACUCGAAUUUUAACCAGAUUGAAGCAUGUGGUGAUCUUGUUAUACCUGAAUGAUCAGGAAAUGGAAGGCAACAUCUUGGGGCAUUGGCAGAGUACUGUGGAUCUCCUAAACACAUGUCAAACUCAGAAGGAUCUUCAAAAAGUUUGUACAGAGAAGUUCAAGCUGGGAUAUCUGGGGCAUCCAAUUUUCAUACUAUUGAAUUUGUUGUUCUUGGAAUACUUCAUUCUUUUCAAAGAUUCACAUUCCCAAUCAAUUUAUUUGUUAUCCUUUUUACUAUUUGUGAUAAUUUAUUCCUUUCGAGCUAUGCUCAGAACUAAUUUUAUUCUCAUUCAUUGUUAUGACAUUUUUUGCAAGCAUGUUGCAUUGGAAUAAUGAUCAAUGAACUAAUAUAACUUUCACAAGGGAAGUUUUUCAUAUUACCCUAGAAGUUUCUAAAUAAUACGGGAACCUGAAACAGAACUAUUGUUUAGAAUGUACCAAGUUUAAAGGUUGGAAAUCUAAGAGGGAAAAGUCUAAAUUGAGACUAUCCCUUUAGAUUUUGUUGUCAAAGCAUUGAUGGAACAAAAUGGCAAGAUGUCAGGUUGGUGAAAAAGCUUAAAUGAACAAGCAAGCAAUGAUCACCAGACAAUGGGAAGAGGUUUUCUCGGAGAGGAAAACUUUCAUUUGUGCAUGAGCCUUUGGUAUGAUACCUUGGGAAUGGUGUAACUGACCAGAGAGAUUUAGAUCCUGCGUCCUUGAAUUGUGAUAGGAAAGGAUUGAGGAAAAGCCAUAUAUUUCUACCCUUGGGUUAUAGUGGGAGAACGAUGGUAUGAAUUUUUGCGCCCCAAUAGAUUAAACUUUGAGGUUUCCAGUGGGGUCAACAUGACUAAAUGUUUCUUCAGAAAAGCCAGCCAAGCAAGAAGGCGUUGUAGCACGUCAGUGUUAAAGCCUUAAUAAUCUUCGAAUAAUGACAACCUAGGUGGGAUCAUUCUCGAAAAAAAAAACUAUGCAUUCAUGCAAACACCAUUCACACAUGUCUAGUUAGGAGCAUUUUAUGCCAUCCCAAUCAUUAGGCAUAAAUAGGUUCAUUAUACAGGUCGCGUUCCCCAGAGAGCAGAUCAGUAAAAAUAACAGAUCUUGCCUUCCUUCACCGACAACGAAGCAGAUCGAAGACACCAGCCUUGCCUCCUUGGGAUACAGCGGAGCAGGUUAAAAAUAGCAGAUCUUGCCUUCCUGCAUCGACAGUGAAGUAGAUCGAAGACACCAGCCUUGCCUCCCUGGGUUGCAGCGGAGCAGGUAAAAAACAACAGAUCUUGCCUUCCUACACCGACAGCGAAGCAGAUCGAAGACACUAGCCUUGCCUCACUAGGUUGCAGCGGAGUAGGUUAAAAAUAACAGAUCUUGCCUUCCUGCACCGACAGCGAAGCAGAUCGAAGACACCAGCCUUGCCUCCCUGGGUUGCAGCGGAGCAGGUUAAAAAUAACAGAUCUUGCCUUCCUGCACUGACAGCGAAGCAGAUCGAAGACACCAGCCUUAUCUCCUUGAGCAACAGUGGAGUAGGUUGAAAAUUACAGAUCUUAUCUCCCUAAGCAGUAGUGGAGCAGAUCAAAGUCCCCAGCCUUGUCUCCCUGGGCAGCAGUGGAGUAGGUUGAAAAUUACAGAUCUUAUCUCCCUAAGCAGUAGUGGAGCAGAUCGAAGUCCCUAGUCUUGUCUCCCUGAACAGCAAUGGAAUAUGUUGAAAAUUACAUAUCUUAUCUCCCUAAGCAGUAGUGGAGCAGAUCGAGGAUGGUAAAUCUUAUCUCCCUGAGGUUGCAGUGGAGCAGAUUAAAACCGAUAAUCCUAUCUCCCUGAGGUUAUAGCGGAGCGGAUUAAAAUAACAGAUCUUAUCUCUCUGAAAUUAUGGUAGAGAAGAUUGUAUCAGAUUUAUCUUUAAGUUACAGCAGAUCGAGUUAAGAGCCAUAAGUCUUGUCUCCCUGAAGUUGCAGUGGAGUAGAUAGCAAAUUUUGUGCUCUUGAGAAACUACAACGUACAAAUCCUAUCUCCCUGAUAUUGCAAUGAAGUAGAUUGAAGCAUUAGCUCCUAUGCAGUAGGAGGGAAUGGAGCUACUUGAAGCAAAAAGAACCCCGAAGUUUAGCAUGGUCAGGCAAAAUUGGCCAUUUCUAAAGUCUUUGCUUCGUUCUCGUUACACAAUAACGAGCAAAGAGGGGCAGCUGUAAUGGGACAAUUUUGGCCUGGCUAAAAAAUCAUUUACAUAGCCCAAAUAAUUCAGCCCAAUAAGGCCCAAAUUGCUAGCCCUAAUCUGCUAGCCCAAAAAACACAAAGAGUAUAGCAGAAACCCUAAUAGCCACCACAGCAAUCUCAUCCUUGCACGCCACCGCAAAUGUCGCAUAUGCACCUCCAACCAUACCUGCACAUCAAGAAAGAAAUAAAUAGUACAUGGAAAGAAAAAUCCAAAGAUUGCGAAUCAAGAUCGAUAUGAACAGAUUUACUCUCAAUGUUAUUGUUUUAUUAUGGCUAUAAAAAAAGCCAUUGAUACACUGUAAUGAGGGGCCGAAAAAUCAAUAAAAAAGAAGCAUUUUUACAGCACCAACAAAGAAUCAAUCGAAACUAAAGGUGGAUAUUUUCGUUUUGUUAUUUUUUUAUACACUGAUAUUAAAUAAAAUAAAAGAGAGAACUUAUCUGGGUUCGGACCUGCGGCAUUGUGGGCGAUCGAGGGUGCCACCCCCAAGGAUUAGUGGCCGGAAACUGAAAGGUUUCUGGACUCCCUUGCGGUUUUUGAUGGUUUUUUUGGGACUUUUGAACCCGGAUUCGGGUUUAGAGAGGUCGAGGGAGCCGAAUAGGGAAUUUUCCCCUUUUUCGACCACCGUAGACGGUGGUACUGGCGCCAGAGAUCGGCGACUGGCAAGGUGGCCGACGACUGGCCGAUGAUCGGACUGGAGGCCGGACGACUGGGAAAGGGGAGACUUUUGAAGUGUUUUUUUUGUUUUUUUUAAAAGAGGCUGCAAAUGAAAAUUUUUAGAGUAGUGGCUUAAAUAGCCCUCCAAAACGGUGUCGUUUUGGACAUGGGUGGACCCGACUCAGACCCGACCCGGCCUAGGAUCCGCGUGUUUUUGCGCGGAGGGGUAAAUUGCGCUUUUAGCCCCUCCGCCUUUUAAUAUUUUUACAAUUAAGUUUAUUUUAUUUUUAAAUUUCAUCUUUAAUUUAUUUUUAAUUUCAAUUUGGUCUCUGUGGAAGGUCGCCGUUUAGAGGAAAAGGGAAAAUUUCCCUUCAGUCCUUUCAUGAUUAUUCGCGCGUUCAAUACAGUCCUUUGGGAUUUAAUUAUUUGCGAAUUUGCCCCAGUUUUUUAUUUUACAAUUCAAUUUAGUUUUUUUAUUUUUUUAUUCAUUGAUAAUGUAAUUAUUAUUUUCACAUGUAAUUAUUUUUUCUUUUUUUAUAUAUAUGUAUAUUUAUGUAUAUUUAUUUCCAUGUAUAUAUACGUAUAUUUUUGAAUAUAAUGUAGUUAUUAUUUAAUUUAUUUUUAUAUAUAAUUGUAUAAAUGUAUAUAUGUACAUAUUUAUUUUUAUUUUUUUCAAGCUAAUAUUUGUUAUAUUUAUAUAUACACAUAUUUAUUUUCGAUCAUGUAUUUAUUAUUUUUAAUCUAUAUAUAUUGUAAAAAAACAAAUAUUCUUUUAUAUUUAUGAACACGUAUAUAUCCCUUUUUUAUUUUCAAAAAAUGCUUAAAUAUCUACUUAUAUUUUAACACAUAUUUUAUAAUAUAUAUAUUUCUAUACUCUUCUUUAUUUUCACAAAUAUGUAUUUUGUUUAUAUAAAUUUUUAUAAUCUAAAUUUUAUGUAUAAAUUCAUGUGUAUUCUUCAUAGUUUUAAUGUAUAUGUCAUGUACCUUUUAUUCUUUAUAUUUUUUUUAUUUUUUUAUUUAUUUAUGUUUUCAUUAAUUUUUUUUCUUGCUCGUUUAUUUAAUACUUUGCAUGUCAUUAACUUUUUUCUCCCUUAUGUAUAUUUGUUUCGUUUAUUCAUUUGUUUAUAUUAUUUCUAUGCUAUUGUUGUAUUUGUUAUCACGAUAUUUGCACAUAUAAUAUAACGUUACAUCAUUUUUCACUCAAAUUUAAAAAUAGAAAAUUUUCAAAAUUGAGAUAAUGCUCGUAUUUAGGAUUUUCAAGGAAAUUGAGCCCUAACGUAUUGGGUUCCGAUUUUCUUCGUUAAAUCUAACAAUCGAGCAUUUCUCUUUAAUCAAAAAAAUAAGAACUCAUUAUUGGGAAUUCAACACGUUGUGUCCUAACGUAUUGGAUGUGACACAUUGAUUUCUCGAAAUGAAGAUUUUUUCUAAAAAAUAAUAAAGGAAAUAUUCCGAGUUUGGGAUUUUGGAGGAAUUGUGCCCUAACGUAUUGGGCCGCGAUUUCUUAAAUCUUGAAUAAAUGGAUAUUUUUUUAAAUUUUUAUUACACGAGUAUUCUGGCCUAAUUCAUUUUUGAGGAAAUUAGAAUGUCGUGCCCUAACGCAUUGGGUGUGACAUUUUCUUUUAGUGAAAUGAUAAGGGUCUUAAUACGUAACGUUUUUAAGUUUUUGCUAAGGAUUAUAUUUUCAAAUUUUCGACAUUAAGGCAUUAAUUAAUUAACUAGGUACCAAUUUUUGGGCGUAAUGAAGGUGCUAAUCCUUCCUUAUACGUAACCGACUCCCGGACCCAUUUUUCUAAAAUUCGUAGUCCAAAGUCGUUUUUAGGUGACCCAAUCACACCUUAAUAAAAGGUUGGUGGCGACUCCCAAUUCUUCCAAUUUUAAUCAACAACUAAUUUUUGUUUUUUUCCAAAAAUAAAAAUAGUUUUGAGGAAAACAAAUGUCUAAGAUGGCGGAUUUUGCGACUACUGAAACAUCUUCAUAAUAUUCUAAAGUUGUAGUUGGAGUGCGUCGUACUUUCUGCUCUGCUCUACUUCCCUCGCUACUGCCUUCACUUUAAAUUGUAGCUGGAGUUCUUCAUAUUUUCUUUGAACCUCAACUUCUCUCGAUGCUGUCUUCGCUUUAAGUUGAGCAAAUUGCUCAACUGUGCUCACUUGCACCUGAGCCAUCUGGUCUCUUAACCUUUGAUCUUCAGCUUGAGCCUGACUUCCCGAAGGCAUGUAUUGUUGCGAGCUGGAUCCAAAUUAUUGGGUUGGGUUAACAAAAGAUCCUUGAAAUCGAACCCGACCAUACCUUUCAGGACCCAAAACUUCAGUAAUAAUCUGAUUAUCAAUGUCGUCAACAUUAAUAGAACUAUCACCCGAAGCAAUCGCUUCAUACUCUUCCUUUUUAUCCUUUAGUUUCUCCUAAAAAAUCAAUCAAAAAGUUAGAAACGAAAUAUAUAAUAAAAACAAAUGCAACAUAACUUAACAUUAUUUGCAUUACAAACGACGAAUUAAACCAUUAUAAUUAAACACUAUAAAUAUUCAAAAUAAUUCAAAUUUUAUUAAGUAAACAUACCAUAAUUUCUGUAGCUUCAAAAGUCAUAGGAGAUUCAUCUUUUUUCCUAUGUGUAAUGUCAAAAAGCUGAAGGCGUCCGACUUUUUGACUAGAUGACAGUUCCUACAAUAUAAUAGUAAAAAUAUUAUUUAAUAGAAAGUAAUAAAUAUUUGACACAAUUAAUAAAUUCAAAAUACCUCGACCUCAGCUACACAAGCAAAACUUUUUAACCCAACUGUGUGAGUGAAUUUCUGUUUUUGCCUGCUGCUUGUUCCAACUCGUUCACGAUCCUACAUUAUGAAAUUAUUAUUACGUAUAUAGUAAAUACUAUAAACUGAAACAAUUAUAAAAGUUUGGAAGUACGUAAUACCUCUCCUUUCUUUGAAUUCCAAAAUCUAACCGCAUCUUCCCAUUGGUACCUCAACAUUCCCGACAACACAUUUUGCAAUUUCUCUUCGAGGGUUGUUUUUGUCUUAAAAUAUUCUUUCUUUAAAGUACUUUUAUGGUCUCUCCAUCUUUUUCCCAAUGCCUUCUUGACAUAAUUAUCGGAGACCUCUAAAGCAAACCUCUCCUACAAAAAACACAAGUUUAAAAAGUAAAUAUAAAUGAAACUUAAACCAAAGUUUUAUAAAUUACAUUCACGUUUUGUUACCUUAAUAUUAUUGAGAGCUUCAUUUUUGUUACUAUCAGGCAUUUGAUGCCAUGAGUCAUAGUUGAUAGGCAACAUAUUGACAUUUCGUGCUAUAAUGCACAAAUAUCCUACUAAAAGUCGAGCUUCUGAUCCAACAGGCUGACCAAGAUUGUUUCUAGAUACUUUGACACGCUCGACAUGAUUUAACUCGUAUAAAUCUUUAAGUAGCGUACGUCCUCGACCUCUGCGCGUCCCACCAGUUUCAGCUGAAAAAUGGUAUAUUAUAAUAUAAGAAUUUGAAAAAGAAAUCAAUAAUAAAAGUCAACACACAUGUAAAUUAAAUUUAACAUUACUUUGAAUUUCUGCAGGUUCAUCAGGUAUAUUUGGAACAUUCGAAGAUCCAAUAGCAGUCUGUUGUUCACUAUUUGUUUCUUCCAAAUUUGGAGUAUUUUGAACAAUACUUAGAUCUCGCAAUCUUCUUUUAGGCAUUUUAUCUGCAAUACACAUAAAAUAGUUGAAAUUUUAGUAACUAAUUACAACAAUAAUAGUACAUAUAAAAUAGUUAAAAUAUUUAACAAGACCAAGAUUUAAAUUAUGAUAUUACAUAUAAUUAAAAUCUUACUACAUCAUAAUUCGUAAAUAUCUUCAUCAACAUCCUGACGAACCCAUUGAAAUUGUGUACUAGUACUAGAGAUAUUUUCAUUUAAGUUUUGUUCUGGAAAAGGCAAAAUUUCUGAUCUUUCGUUGAUGUCAUCUCUACUUCCAUUGCCCAUGUCAAACAAGUCUCUAGGGGUGUUACGGAGUACAACGCACCAACCCUCAUCAGUUGGAUCUUUCGAGUAAAAAACUUGUUUCACUUGAGAAAAAAAUACAUACAGCUCAUCUAUCAGUUGUUGUCCAGUGUGAAUCAAUCGAGAGAAGUUCACCAUUGUAAAACCAAAUUGAUCUUUUUUAAUUCCGUGAGCAGUAUUAACAUCAACCCAAUCACAUCGAAAUAAGACAACUUUCCAUUUGCCAUAGUAAUCCAACUUAAUAAUGUCAGUAAGAAGUCCGUAAUACUCCACAUUUCCAUCAUCAGGAUUACUAUCCCUAGCACUAGCAUAACUUGUAAUUGAAGAAUUAACAAAUAUUCCACAAUUUUGAGUUCUCCUCAAUCUCUCGCGAUAUUUUGUAUGAAAUCUAAAUCCAUUGAUGAGAAAGGCACUAUAUCUUUAAAAUUAGUAUUUCAAGAUUUGGAUUUAGAUUUUUAAAAUAAUGUAAAUUGAGUAAUAAGUUAUUUAAAAAUAUAAUAUUUAUAAUUAUUUUAAUAUUUUAAUAUUAGAAUCAAACAUUAUUAAUAUAAAAAAUUAAUUAGUAUUAAAUAUAUAUUUUUAGUCGAAAAGAUAGUAUUUAAUCAUAUAACAAAUUUAAUCAUAUGAUUUGGGGAAAGAAACGACGCCGAAUGAGUCAAAUAUCUGAAUAAAACAGAAUUCCUAUUACUUUGGCAAUAUAUAACCCUUAUAAAUUGACAACAAAUUAAUUAAACAGAUUAUAAUUACUGUACAAGCUUAAACAUAUUGUUCCUAUUCCAUUACUUGUCAAAGAAACCCACCAUCUAGCAGUAUAUCAUAUUUGAAACUAGCUUAAACAUAUUGUUCCUAAAAUAACAAGGGAUAAACAUUAUUACAGCAUCAGUAUAAUUGAUGAAUAAUCAAGUCUACAAAAAAGAUAACACUACAUUAGAUUAAGAAAAUAAUAAUCUUUUUUAGUGGAAUUACUUUCGUUGCUAUUUUAAGAACCCAACGCUACAUUAGAUUAGGACAACAAUUGAAUUUUAAAUAUAAAUAGCACGAAAGCUUGAACUCCGAUUCAAAGUUAAAUACUCAAAAUUCAGUUCAAGCUCUUAACUCAAGAAACAAUCGAUGCUUGAUGAGUGUCGUUAACUGAUUUCCCAAUACUCAGAACUCCAAUUUGAACUGGAAAUUAAGCUUUUGCAUAUACAAAAACAAAUUUGUAAAGAAAUGAACUUUUUAGCUGCGCAUUACACUUCGCAAAGCCCUGAUUCACUAGAAUAAGUAAUUUUAUUUUAAUUUUAAGAAAAAAAAACCUAAUUUAUCCACAUCCGAUGUUUUUUCGAGCAAUUAGAAAACAAAAUGAACUAAAAAGGAGCUUAUUUGUCGCAAAUAAAACCCUAAAUCAACAAAUAUUAAAUUAAUUAAGAUUAUAAUAAAACAUUAGAAGAUUUAAAAUAGAAAACCUAGUCCUUUUGGUGUUCAUGACUGUCUCUAGAAAUAGAAGCGGUAAUUUUAGGGCAGAGGAGUGUGACGGUGAUGCGGCAGAGGAGACAGUGGAUAGCGAUGCAGUAGACGGUCGGCGAAAAUCAAAGGGAUUUUGAAAUUUCAGGAUUUCGAUUUGCGGGAAAAAUUAAGGGAUUUGGAAAUGCCAAAUUUUUAAGGGAAAAAUUAAGGGAUUCGGGCUUUAGGGAUAUAAAGUAAGGGAUUUUGGGGUUAUGGUUUAGGGGAAGGAGAACAGAUAGAAUUCAAGGAGCAAAACGGUGACGUUUUGUUUAAAAUAAAAUGAUAAAAUGCCACUAUUUGAUAAAAAUGCCGCUAUUUGCUUACCUUUUGCGGCGUUUUUCUCAUAAACGCCGCUAAUGCCUUUGAUACUAAUAAAUAUUUAAAGUUAAGAUUCAAUCCAAUUUUCUUCUUGUUUAUAUAUUUGAAAGGUUUAAUUAUUUCUUAAAUUCCUUUAAAUUAAGUUUAUUUUGUCUCAAACAAUAUAUUUAAUUUUUAAAUUUUGUAAUUGUGUAAGAAAUUAAUUUUAAAAACUGAAACCAAACUUCCUUACGAAGAGUUUGUAUCCACGAGUUUAAUUUUUUGUGCAGCUGAUAGAAUUUAUCCAAUUUGAUGAUUUUGAUAAAUUAUAUUAACUGUCUAAACCCUAAACCUUAAACAAUAAACUUUAAUCCCCUAACCCCUAAAACCCUAACCCCUAACCCUUAAACACAACCAUAAAUUAUAAACACUAAACACUAAACCCUAAACCUACACCCUAAAUUAUAACCAUUAAACUCUUAACACUAAACCCUAAACCUUAAACCCCAACCCCCUAAAUCCUAAACCUUAAAACUAAACCAUAAACUCUAAAUCCUAAACUCUAACCCUUAAACCCCUAACACCUAAACCUUAAACCAUAAACAUAAACCAUAAACCAUAAACAUACACCCGAAAUCGUAACCAUUAAACUCUUAACACUAAAUCCUAAACCUUAAACCCCAAACCAUAUACCUACACCCUAAAUAUAUAUAUUACAAGGGACAAAAGUAAUUAAAAAAAUCUUAUUGCUUACAUAAAUCACAAACAUGCAAAAUAACUGAAUCCCUAUACAUGGCAUAACUUCAACAUAUUUCAUCAUAAAAUACCGAGCAAUUGUGGUUGAUAGUGUGGACGAUCUCUGACUUCUUUAGGAUCCUUGAAGUAGCUUGCAAUACUAUACGAGGAAGAGAAAUAAAAGAAGUAAGCAUAAAGCUUAGUAAGUUUACUAGCAAAUAAAUAACAUUAAACACAAAUAAUUAAACUCAAAUGACUAUAUCUCUAGUUUACUCUUUAGUUAAUCUCAUUCUAGUUCUCUUGCUUAUUUACUUAGAAUACUUGUGUGCAUAACUUACUCAUCUCUUGCUGCAUCAUUGAACAUCAAUUGAUAGUAUAAUAAGUUCUUAACUCUUAUAACUUACCUGAGCUUGCCAUUUAUGCUUUAAACUGAACUUUCAUGAAUAUGAUUCGCUUAUUAGCCCGUUAAGCUACAUUGGAACAAUAAGGAUACUCGGGUCUCUUCUGAUAAUAACAUGCCAAAGCCAUGUCCCAGACAUGGUCUUACAUGGGAUGUUCUCAUCUCGGUACCCAUGCCAUGUCCCAGACAUGGUCUUAUAGGGGACCUCUCAUCUCGGUGCCAACGUCAUGUCUCAAACAUGGUCUUAUAUGGGACCUCUCAUCUCGGUGCCAACGCCAUGUCCCAGACAUGGUCUUACAUGGGACCUCUCAUCUCGGUGCCAACGCCAUGUCCCAGACAUGGUCUUACAUGUGACCUCUCAUGAUCUCAAGGAUGCCAAUGCCAUGUCCCAAACAUGGUCUUACAUGAGAUCUCUUUACCCAAAUGUCAUGACAUUUGUAUCCAAUACUAUUCUUAUGUAUCAACGGGACUUUUUAAUUUUUAUUCUCUACCAUUUCAUGCUUGGGUCAUCAUCAAAUAAAUUUAUGAAAUAAAUAUAUAAUUACUGGAAAAUAACAACAUUAAUAAUUUCUUAUCUUCGUUCUCAAAUCUGUAUUGAUAGUUCCAUUUUAAGUGGUAGUGACAAUUCUAAUGAUAAUUAUAUUUAUAAUUACAUUUGCGGCGAAGGUGGAAAUAGUAGUGAAGGCAAGAAUUUCGAUAUAAUAACUCGUGAAAAUGGUAAUGAUUUCACUCUAAAAGAAAGUUCUAAUGAUCUCAAUCUAUACAAGGAUUUGUGGGUUCAAUGCGAAUGCAAAAAUUGUUAUGGAGUAAAUUAUAAGAAAUCGCUUAAUUCAAAAAUGAAUAUUUGUGAACAAUGUUGAUAUCAUUUGAAAAUGAGGAGUUCAGAUAGAAUCGACCUUUCGAUUGAUCCAGGCACUUGGGGUCCUAUGGAUGAAGACAUGAUCUCUUUGGAUCCCAUUAAAUUUCAGUCUGAAGAAGAGUUUUAUAAAGAUCGUAUUGACUUUUAUCAAAGAAAGACAGGAUUAACUGAGGCUAUUCAAAUAGGUACGGGUCAACUAAACGGUAUUCCUAUAGCAAUCGGGGUUAUGGAUUUUCAGUUUAUGGGGGGAGUAUGGGAUCCGUAGUAGGCGAGAAAAUCACCCGUUUGAUCGAAUAUGCUACCAAUAAUUUUUUACCUCUUAUUCUAGUGUGUGCUUCCGAAGGAGCACGCAUGCAAGAAGGAUGUUUGAGCUUGAUGCAAAUGGCUAAAAUAUCUUCUGCUUUAUAUGAUUAUCAAUCAAAUAAAAAGUUAUUUUAUGUAUCAAUUCUUACAUCUCCUACUACUGGUGGAGUGACCGCGAGUUUUGGUAUGUUGGGGGAUAUCAUUAUUGCUGAACCCAAUGCCUAUAUUGCAUUUGCGGGUAAAAGAGUAAUUGAGCAAACAUUGAAUAAAACAAUACCGGAAGGUUCACAGGCGGCUUCUUUUUGAAUGCUAAAUCUCUUUUUACAGCAAUCCAAAAUCACUCCAUGUUCAGAUAACCAAUCCAUUCUUAGUAUUAUAUUAAAAUCCCCAAAUGGCAUAAUCAACAGGUCAACAGGAAAAGUUUUAUUCUGUAUAAUUAACGAGUAUCUUAGACAAACCUGAUUCACUACUACUGUUUGCCCCAAUGGACUCGACACUUCUACAGACACUCUAGACAUCUCAGAUUUAAAUUUUCCCAGUUCAACUAAUUUUGAAUUUAUAUAAGAGUGUGAAGAUCCGAGAUCAAUAAAAGCAUAAAUAAGCUUAGAAUACAGUAAAAAUAUACAUGUUACUACAUCGUGGGUAUCGCCUUCUUCCCGAGUUCUAACCACGUAAGCUCUAGCGGGUACUUUAGCUUCAGAUUGUUGGGUAACAAUAUCACUGCUCUUCCUAACACCUCCUUCUCUAGAAAUCGAACUACCUCUACCUGACCCUCUGCCUCUAGCAGUAGAUACUAAUCUCUGUGAUGUCACGGGUGCAACACUAUCAGUUUUCAGACAAUCUCUGAUCAAAUGGUCUGUAGAACCACAUUGAAAACAACCUCUAGUUAAUUUCCAGCACUCCCCUCUGUGUUUCUUUCUACGGUGCUGACAGUCUGGAAUUUCUACACUCCGAGGUGGACCACUCACACUACCAGUAGAUACUGUUGUCUGUUUCCCUCUACUUCUACCACCUCUAUCUGAUCUAAAACUGGAUCUCCAACCACCUUAGGAUUCCUUUGAUCUUUUUGGCUGUGGAUUUGAACUUGUAGUUCCUGCACGUUUCCUGUUUAAUCUGACACUUUCAAUCUUUUUAUCGAGGCCUAACACUUGCUCUACCAUUUUGGCACGCUCAAUCAAAUCUACAAGCUCAAUAAUCCGGUGAGAUACUAACUGUACCUUGAUCUCGUCUCGCAAACCCCGUAAAAAUCUUUUGCAACUAUCAGCUUCUGUUGGAAUAAACUCGGAGGCAUAUCUACUGAGUCUUGAGAAUUCUCUCUCAUAAUCUAUUACCGACAUAUCACCCUGUUGUAACAUUAAAAACUCUUGUUUCUUGUCCUCGAUAUACAUCUCUUCGACAUAUUUCUUUUGAAAUUUUCCUCAGUUCUUUUAUCGGGGCCCGUAUUUGAGUAGGUGCUGAAGUUGUAGCAGGAGUAGUUCUUGCUACUCUUUAUAGUGGAUCGGUAAUUACUCAUAAUAUAUCAGAAUCAUAUCUAUCAUUUCUUCUAGGUGGAUUUCUUACUGGAUUUAUGCUAGGUGUAACUGACUCCGUUUCAUCUAAUCUAUACGACUACUCGUCUCUGGUAUACAUUUCUUCAUCGAUAUCAUUUAUUCUUUCAUCAGACAUCUUUAAUCUAUAAAACAGAAACAAACAAUUAGGUUAGCAUCCAAGAAUCCUGACUCAGUUUUGAUUCAUCAGUGGCAUGUACCUCUAGACUCAAUUCCGAGCCUGAUUUAGACUGAGAAUUGACUAAACCUGAUAGCUCUGAUACUAAUAAAAUGUAACACCUCCUAACCCUAAUCUGUCGUCGAAAUAGGGUUACGAGGCAUUACCGGACAUAUCAGAAAAUCUAUAAAUAAUUUGUUAAAUAAAUAACAAACAUAUUAUAAUAUAAUCGUAAAUUCAUAUAAAUAUUUAUUUUACUAAUUGACUUCAUUAUUAUUAUUUUAUUUUAUGUGAUUAAAAAAACUCAAUAUAACCCCUUUAUAAAUAUUUAACCUUCCCUGUAAUUUCAAACAGCAACCAAUUCACAAUUCAUACAAAUUCAUGUUCAAAUAACGUAAACAUAUCUUAAAAAUUAACUUAGUAAUUUACUAAAUAAAUAUUCGCAUAUAUUGUUUAAAUAAAUAAACUUCAUUCAUUCAAUUUCAGUUUUAGCACCAAACAUACCAUUUUAUAACUUAACGUUUCAUUUAUCAUUAGAACAUUAGAGACCAAUUCUUUACAACCAAAACUUACAAGACUCUUUAAUAAGACCAAAGUACAUGCCACAUUUACCAAAGGAAAAAUACAUCACCAAAGUUACGCUGAAGUCGGGAUUGAUUUGGAUGCUGAACCGGGACCUUUGACUUCUAUCAACCUGCGCACGGAAACAACUAUACGCUGAAUAUUUCAUACUCAGUGGUAUUACCAUAAUUCAAAUUAUAACAGUAAUAAACAUGUAAUGCAUAAAUCAUACAUACAAAUUUAAAUUUAAAUUCAAAUUUAAUAUUUCAACAAUAACAAUUCAUCAAAUAAUAUCAUAUGUCCAUAAUUUUAAACUUGGACACAUCAUGAACCUUAGGUUCAUUCCUCAAUUCCAUAUCACAUUUCAAUUCGCAAUUUAACUUUUUCAUCUCAAUUCAGUAACUCGAUUGAUCAAUUCAUUCGGUUUAUCAUUUCAUUAGUUACCCUAUUAACAAAAUUCAGACUUUGGCAGAUACACGGAUCCAACCAAACACUCCAGUAUGGCACCCAGUGCCUCAUCGGAUAGUUCGAAGCAAUAGUUGACACCCAGUGUCUCAUCGGCAAAGCUGAAGAAAGUUGGUACCCAGUACCUCGUCGAAUCUGUAACAACCCGGUUUUGACCCUAAUCGGAAUAGUAGUUUCGGGACCACAAAUCUGAGUCUAAAAAAUAUUUUAAUAAUAUUUUAUGUGUUUAUUAUGUGUGAAUUUAUUUGUGUGAAAAUUUCGUGUGAAAAUUUUAUCGUUUGUGUGCUCGAUUUUAUAAAAGGACUUAAUCGCGUAAAAUGCAAAAGUGGCUAGCAAUUUGUUAAAGUACUAUAUUGCCAUGGCUUUUAUAAUGUGGGGUCCUUAUGUUGAUAUUAUACCAUUGAAAUUUUGAGUGGAUUUUUAUGGACAUGGUUAGUUAAUUAUUAAAGUAAAAUCAUUAAGGUUAGUUUUGUAAAUUAGUUAAAUAUGUUAAUAUAAUAAAACAUAAAAUAAAAGCCAUGCAUGUUAUUCAUCUUUUUGGCUGAAUGUGAGAAGAAAAGAAAGUCAUUUACCUUGUUAAGGGUUCGGCACUUUCAAGUUUGGAUUAAGGUAUGGAUUUAGUUCGAUUUUUGAUAAAUUUUAUGUUUUUGAGAUCGUUGCUUUGAAUACUUCACAACCCAUGUCUUAAUUUUGUGAAUUGUUGAUGAUUUUAAAAUGUGCUAUUGAUGAAUGCUUGAACAUUGUGAUAGUUGAUGAUGAAAAAUGAAAGAAAUGUGACAGAUUAACAUAUUUUGUCUUUGAAUUUUUAGUGAAUUUGAGAAAUUAGAGCUAAAUUGUGAAAAUGAAUUCUUGAGGGAUUAAAAUGUGAAAUAAAUGAAAUGUGUGGACUUGUAUGAAGACAAGGAAUAGUUGACCCUAGCUUAGUGUGGGCAAAUUUUGUGUAUUUUGUGUUUUGUGCAAAAAGGAUUAAAUUGCAAAAAGUGUAAAAUGUUAGGGGUAAAAUAGUAAUUUGCCCAUUCAUGUAUUUUUGGACUAAAUUGAAUUUUUUGAUGAAUAAAAAGGUUAAAUUUGAUUAUGUUUAGAUCAAGAAACGAAGAAAACGAAUUUGGAUCGGGGGAAAACGAAAAUAAUUGAAUAGUCGAUCUUGUCCGCUGAUAUCCGAGGUAAGUCUAAUAGCAAAUAAACAUCAUUACAUUAGUAUAUAUAUGUUCUAUAAGCAAAAAUAUAAUGGUAUGAAUUGUAUAAAAGUGUUAGCUGAAUGUAUAUAUAUGUUUUGAAUUUUAUAAGUUAAAAAUAAAAUGUAUGAAUUGUAUAUAUAUAUGUGUGUUAGUUAAUGUAUAUUUGAGUUUUAUAAGUUAAAAUAAAUUACAGAAAUUCUAUAUAUAUUUAGCCGAAUAUAUAUAUGCUGGGUUUUGUAAGUUGAAUGAAAUUUAAUAAAUUACAUAUAUGUUAGCCGAAUGUAUAUAUAUGUUUUGAAUUUUAUUAAAAUGUAUGAAUUGUAUAUAUAUAUGUGUUAGUCAAUGUAUAUUUGAGUUUUAUAAGAUAAAAUAAAUUGCAUAAAUUCUAUAUAUAUUUAGCCGAAUAUAUAUAUGCUGAGUUUUGUAAGUUGAAUGAAAUUUAAUGAAUUGGAUAUAUGUUAGCCGAAUGUAUGUAUUGAAUUCGAUUGGUUGAAAUUAAUCAUAUGAAUUAUAUGUAUGUUAGCCAAUGUAUGAUUUGAGUUCGAUAAUUUGAAGCUUAUAGUAUAAAAAUAUAUAUAUAAUAACCGAAUGCAUGUAUGAGUUCUAUGAGCUGAAUUUAAUGAUAUGAACUAUAGAUAUGUUAUUCGAAUGUAUGUUUGCUACGAAGGUUGGAAUAUAAUUCGAUUUUUGCUGAGAUACGAUUAUUGAAAAGAUUUAUAUGAGAUAUAAAGAAUAUCUAGAUUUUCUUAUAAAGAAUUUUGUGAAAGACCAAUUUCAUAUCCGUGGUAUUCAGGCUCGAUGCCUAGCAGGCUUAAUGCCGGUGAAUUAUUUCAGACUUUAUGUCUAGCAGGCUUAAUGCCGGUGAAUUAUUUCAGAUUUUAUGUCUAGCAGGCUUAAGGCCGGUGAAAUGAUUCGGACUUUAAGUCUAGCAGGCUAAGUGUCGGUGAUCUGAAUCAGGUUAUAAACCUAGCAGGCUAAGUGCCAGUGAUCUGAAUCAGGCUAUAAGCCUAGCAGGCUAAGUGCCGGUGAAUAUGUUAAAUUAAGUGAUUAUAUGCAUUUGAUAUAUAUAAAUAUAUAAAUGAUUUUGGGUUAUAUAUAAUGGAUAAGUAAAUGAACAUUUAUUUAUAUGUAUUUGAUGAGCAUAUAAAUGUUUGGAUCUAUGUGUUUAGUGAAUAGGCACAUAUAUUGGUUGUUAUGAAAAUUGUUGAAUAUACAUGUAUGCAUUCGGCACAUGUGGGUUAGAAGUAUAAAUGUGCAUUUGGUUCAUGUAGUUGAUAAAUAAAAAUAUAAGCUUUUGACAUAUGUAUUUGUAAGAUCAUAGAUAUGCAUUCGACGAAAUGCAAAUGAUAAGUAUAUUAGAAAUUAGUAUAUGCAAUUAAUGAUUAUGUUUGUAACUUGAUUAUAAGCAUAUAAUGUUUAUACAUAUGUUCGUUUAUAUGUAUUUUUAAUAUGCUAUAAACUUACUAAGCUAUAAAAGCUUACUUUGAUUGUUUUUGUCCAUUUUUUUUAUAGAUAAAAACCAAGUUGUAGACUUGGGGAUCGUUAGUGAAGAUCAUCACUCUAUCUACUAUCUCAGUAUUAAAACGUUUAAAUUUUAACUUAUGGCAUGUAUAGGCUAAAAAAAAUAUUUUGGGAGUCGUACUUUAAUGUACUGUAUAUAUAUAAUUAAUAGCCAUAUGAAACUAGCUUAUUUUUCUUACGGUUUAACUGAACUGAAAUGUUUUGUUUUGUUAUAAAAGGUUAAAGUAAAAAUUUAUAAUUAUACUUACUUCAUAUUUUACUAAUUUAACAUAAAUGUAAAAUUCUUGAAUUCAAUUCUACUGAAUGUCUGUGUUAAGUUGCAUUUUAUCUUGUAACGAUUUGUAAUCCUAAUUUAUCGGCGUAUACGGGUUAGGAGUGUUACAUUUUAUUGGUAUCAAAGCUACGACUUAGUCGAUUCUAGGACUAACGUAGCGUGUAUGAGUCUAGCUAUACAUGCCAUAAUUUAUACUGAGAUAGUGCGAUGACUUCUGACAUCUAAAAAUGUGUUUUCGUAUAGUAAUGGAUCCCGAUCGACUGUAGCUGAUGAUGUUGAGAGUAUAACGCCUGCUCCCGUACAAGGGACAGAGCUGGUAGAUUCUAGACCAACUUCGAGUAACCAGGAGGGAGAGGCUAAACAAGCCUUCUACCAAAUGAUGAACGACUGGUUUACUCAAUAUAUUCGGACUAAUCCGGUUGCACAACAACCUCCACCCCCGAUUAAUCCAUCUUCAGUUCCUGUUAUAGCUCAAGUGAGUGAUUUGAUGAGAUUACUUAAGCCUCCUGUUGAUAAAAUUUGAAAACACGGGGCCGAAGAGUUCAGAGCUACUAAUGAUGAUGAUGCUGAGCGAGCUAAAUUCUGGCUUGAUAAUACUAUUCGAGUAUUUGAUGAGUUAUCUUGUACCCCUGAUGAGUGCUUGAACUGUGCCAUAUCUUUGCUACGGGACACUGCACAUCACUGGUGGAAUACACUAGUAUCGGUGGUUCCGAAAGAGCGAGUGACCUGGGAAUUCUUUCAGACUGAGUUCCGUAAGAAAUACAUCAGUCAGAGAUUCAUUGAUCAAAAAUGCAAGGAAUUUCUUGAAUUGAAACAGGGUCAGAUGACAGUGACAGAAUAUGAGCAGAAAUUUGUGAGACUCAGUAGAUAUGCUCGAGAGUGUGUUUUGACUGAAGCUAUUAUGUGUAAAAGAUUUGAAGAUGGGCUGAAUGAAGAUAUUAAACUAUUAGUUGGCAUACUUGAGAUAAAAGAGUUCGUAGUACUUGUUGAACGAGUUUGUAAAGCCGAGGAGCUCGAGAAAGAGAAGAGAAAAGCUGACUAUGAAGCUCGAGAUUCCCGUAAAAGAUCAUUUAGUAAAUCGUUCCAGUCGACCUCAAGGAAACCCAGAGAGGAUCAUAGCCGAUCUAAAGCUACUGUAGGGUUUCCUAAACAUGAUCGAGAUCGACCCUAUAUGAGUUCACGAGCUAAUUCAGUUGCUAGUGUGGGUAAUGUUUGACAAAAUAGAUCAGAGUGCAAGCAUUGUGGUAAAUGGCAUCCAGGAGAUUGCAGAUUUCAUGAUCGGUCUUACUUUAAGUGUGGAUCAAAGGAUCAUUUUAUUCGAGAUUGUCCGAUGGUGGUCGAGCAAAAUAUUGUACAGAGUACCAGACCAAAUAAUGUGUUAGUACGAGGUAGACCACUCAGGCAUACGGGUAAUGUUAGUGGUAGUCAGAGAGGGACAAAGGACACGACAGUUCGAUCUGAGGCUCGUGCACCUGCCAGAGCAUAUGCCAUUCACGCACGUAAGGCGGCUUCAUCCCCAGACGUCAUUACUGGUACUUUCACUCUCUAUGAUACUAAUGUUAUUGCACUGAUUGAUCCUGGUUUGACUCAUUCAUAUGUGUGUGAAACUUUAGUAUUCAGUAAGACUUUGCCUGUUGAGUCUACUGAAUUUGUGAUUAGAGUAUCAAACCCCCUGGGCCGGCGUGUGUUGGUUGACGAAGUGUGUAAGAAUUGUCCGUUGAUGAUUCGAUAUUUGUGUUUUAUGGCUGAUUUAAUGUUGUUGCCAUUUGACGAGUUCGAUAUAAUUUUAGGUAUAGACUGGUUGACUUUACACGAUGCUAUGGUUAACUACAAAAGGAAGACUAUUGAUUUAAGGUGCCUGAAUGACGAGAUUAUUCAGAUUGAAUCUAAUGAUCUAAAUGGUUUAUCGGCAGUGAUAUCCUCUAUGUUGGCUCAGAAGUAUGUGAGAAAAGGUUCUAAAACUUAUCUUGCAUAUGUUCUUGAUAGUAAAGUGAUAGAAAAGAAGAUUGAAUCAGUACCUGUUGUAUGUGAGUAUCCAGAUGUGUUCCCUGAAGAAUUACCGGGUCUACCACCUAUUCGAGAAGUAGAGUUUGGUAUUGAGUUAGUACCGGGGAUGACUCCAAUUUCGAUAGCUCCGUACCGUAUGACACCGACCGAAUUAAAAGAAUUGAAAGCACAGUUGCAAGAGUUGACUGAUAAAGGUUUUGCACGACCGAGUUUCUCUCCUUGGGGGGCACCAGUUCUACUUGUGAGAAAGAAAGAUGGAACGAUGAGAAUGUGCAUUGAUUAUAAGGUGACUAUAAAGAAUAAAUAUCCGUUACCACGGAUUGAUGAUUUGUUCGAUUAGUUGAAAGGGGCUACUGUCUUCUCGAAGAUAGAUUUGAGAUCAGGCUACUAUCAGUUACGAGUUAAAGACUCUGAUGUGCCAAAGACUGCCUUUCGAAUGAGGUACGAACAUUAUGAGUUUCUUGUUAUGCCUUUUGGACUUACUAAUACACCUGCUGUUUUCAUGGAUUUGAUGAAUCGGAUCUUUAGACAAUAUCUAGAUCAGUUUGUAGUAGUAUUCAUAGAUGAUAUUCUGAUCUACUCCCGUGAUGAGGCAGAGCAUGUUGAACAUUUGAGACUUGUGUUACAGGCUUUACGAGAUAAAUAGUUGUGUGCAAAAUUCAGUAAAUGUGAGUUUUGGUUGCGUGAAGUCAGUUUCUUGGGCCAUGUUAUAUCGGCAUCAGGUAUUCGGGUUGAUUCAAGCAAGAUUUCGGCUAUACUUGAUUAGAAACCUCCGAGAAAUGUUUCGGAAGUUCGAAGUUUUUUGGGACUUGCUGGUUAUUAUAGACGGUUCGUAAAAGGAUUCUAUAUGAUUGCAACCCCGAUUACAAAGUUAUUACAGAAAGAUGUUAAGUUUGAGUGGUCAGAAAAGUACCAGAAAAGUUUCGAUCAGUUGAAAGCUCUUUUGACCGAAGCUCCAGUCUUAGUUCAGCCCGAAUCGAGUAAAGAGUUUGUUAUUUAUAGUGAUGCAUCUUUAAAUGGUUUGGGCUGUGUUUUAAUGCAGGAAGGCAAAGUUGUAGCCUAUGCCUCGAGACAUUUAAAGCCGUAUGAAAAGAACUAUCCGACGCAUGAUCUGGAAUUGGCCGCUAUUGUGUUUGCGUUAAAAAUAUGGCGUCACUAUCUGUUUGGCGAAAAUGUCAUGUUUAUUCCGAUCACAAAAGCCUGAAAUAUUUGAUGACUCAGAAAAAUCUAAAUUUGAGACAGCGCCGAUGGUUAGAAUUGCUGAAAGAUUAUGAGCUUGUGAUUGACUAUCACCCGGGAAAGGCUAAUGUUGUUGCUGAUGCCCUAAGUCGAAAAUCACUAUUUGCUUUGCGUGCAAUGAACACGCAUAUGGCUAUGUCUAAUGAUGGUGCGAUAGUAGCCGAGUUGAAAGCAAAACCAUUAUUUAUUCAACAGAUUUGUGAAGCUUAAAAAGUCAAUAAUGAUUUAAUUGCAAAACGAGCUCAGUGUGACUUAAAUGUUGAUUCAGAGUUUUUAGUUGAUGUUGAGGAUUGUUUGAGAUUCAGAAAUCGAUUAUGUGUUCCAAAAAAUUUAGAGUUAAUUCAAAUGAUUUUGAAUGAAGCUCAUAAUAGUCGAUUUUCUGUUCAUCCGGGUAGCACAAAAAUGUAUAACGAUCUGAAACAGCACAUUGGUGGCAUGGUAUGAAAUGAGACAUUUCUGACUUUGUUUCAAAAUGUUUAAUAUGUCAGCAAGUAAAAGCUGAGCAUUAGGUACCUUCUGGGUUGCUUCAGCCGAUCAUGAUACCUGAAUGGAAAUGGGACAGAGUUACGAUAGAUUUUGUAUCCGGUUUACCGUUGACACCGAGCAAGAAAGAUGCAAUUUGGGUUGUUGUUGAUAUAUUGACAAAAUCGACUCACUUUGUUCCGGUUCGUAUUGAUUAUUCACUUGAUAAACUUGCUGAACUAUAUAUCUCUCAGAUUGUGAGAUUGCACGGAGUGCCUAUUUCUAUUGCUUCGGACAGAGACCCGAGAUUCACAUCACGAUUUUGGAAGAAACUACAAGAUGCUUUAGGUACGAAACUACAUUUCAGCAUAACUUUUCAUCCGCAAAUCGAUGGUCAAUCCGAACGAAUCAUUCAGAUACUUGAGGAUAUGUUGAGAUGUUGCAUUCUCGAGUUUGAAAGUACAUGGGAACGAUACUUACCUUUGAUUGAAUUUGCUUAUAACAAUAGCUUUCAAUCUAGUAUCAAAAUGGCAGCUUACGAGGCUUUGUACGGUCGUAAAUGUCAUACACCAUUGUAUUGGACCGAGCUCAGUAAAAAUAAGAUACACGGGGUGGAUUUGAUUAAAGAGACUGAACAGAAAGUGAAAGUGAUUCGGGAUAGUCUGAAAUCAGCAUCGGAUCGUCAGAAAUCUUAUACGGAUUUGGAAAGAAAGGAUAUAGAAUUUCAGAUCGGGGACAAAGUGUUUUGAAAGUCUCACCGUGGAAGAAAAUACUCAGUUUCGGUCGUAAAGGCAAAUUGAGUCCGAGAUUCAUUGGACCGUAUGAGAUUAAAGAGCAUGUUGAACCGGUUGCUUAUAGAUUGAUGUUACCACCUGAGCUAGAAAAGAUUCACAAUAUAUUUCACGUUUCGAUGCUUCGUAGAUACCGAUCUGAUCCUACGCAUGUGAUUAGUCCGUCAAAGAAUGAGAUUAGAUCUGAUUUGUCAUAUGAAAAAGAACCGAUUUACAUUUUGGCUCGUGAAGUUAAAGAGUUACGAAAUAAGAAAAUUUUGUUAGUCAAAGUAUUGUGGUAUAAACACGGAGUUGAAGAAGCAACUUUGGAGUCAGAAGAUACAAUGAAAGAGCGUUAUCCAAACCUAUUCACCGGUAAGAUUUUCAGGGAUGAAAAUCCUUAAGGGGGGAGAGUUGUAACAACCCAAUUUUGACCCUAAUCAGAACAGUGGUUUCGGGACCACAAAUUCGAGUCUAAAAAAUAUUUUAAUAUUAUUUUAUGUGUUUAUUAUGUGUGAAUUUAUUUGUGUGAAAAUUUUGUGUGAAAAUUUUAUCGUUUGUGUGCUCGAUUUUAUAAAAGGACUUAAUCGCGUAAAAUGCAAAAGUGGCUAGCAAUUUGUUAAAGUACUAUAUUGCCAUGACUUUUAUAAUGUGGGGUCCUUAUGUUGAUAUUAUACCAUUGAAAUUUUGAGUGGAUUUUUAUGGACAUGGUUAGUUAAUUAUUAAAGUAAAAUCAUUAAGGUUAGUUUUGUAAAUUAGUUAAAUAUGUUAAUAUAAUAAAACAUAAAAUAAAAGCCAUGCAUGUUAUUCAUCUUUUUGGCCGAAUGUGAGAAGAAAAGAAAGUCAUUUACCUUGUUAAGGGUUCGGCACUUUCAAGUUUGGAUUAAGGUAUGGAUUUAGUUCGGUUUUUGAUAAUUUUUAUGUUUUUGAGAUCGUUGCUUUGAAUACUUCACAACCCAUGUCUUAAUUUUGUGAAUUGUUGAUGAUUUUGAAAUGUGCUAUUGAUGAAUGCUUGAACAUUGUGAUAGUUGAUGAUGAAAUAUGAAAGAAAUGUGAUAGAUUAACAUAUUUUGUCUUUGAAUUUUUAGUGAAUUUGAGAAAUUAGAGCUAAAUUGUGAAAAUGAAUUCUUGAGGGAUUAAAAUGUGAAAUAAAUGAAAUGUGUGGACUUGUAUGAAGACAAGGAAUAGUUGACCCUAGCUUAGUGUGGGCAAAUUUUGUGUAUUUUGUGUUUUGUGCAAAAAGGAUUAAAUUGUAAAAAGUGUAAAAUGUUAGGGGUAAAAUAGUAAUUUGCCCAUUCAUGUAUUUUUGGACUAAAUUGAAUUUUUUGAUGAAUAAAAAGUUUAAAUUUGAUUAUGUUUAGAUCAAGAAACGAAGAAAACGAAUUUGGAUCGGGGGAAAACGAAAGUAAUUGAAUAGUCGAUCUUGUCCGCUGAUAUCCGAGGUAAGUCUAAUAGCAAAUAAACAUCAUUACAUUAGUAUAUAUAUGUUCUAUAAGCAAAAAUAUAAUGGUAUGAAUUGUAUAAAAGUGUUAGCUGAAUGUAUAUAUAUGUUUUGAAUUUUAUAAGUUAAAAAUAAAAUGUAUGAAUUGUAUAUAUAUAUGUGUGUUAGUCAAUGUAUAUUUGAGUUUUAUAAGUUAAAAUAAAUUACAGAAAUUCUAUAUAUAUCUAGCCGAAUAUAUAUAUGCUGGGUUUUGUAAGUUGAAUGAAAUUUAAUAAAUUACAUAUAUGUUAGCCGAAUGUAUAUAUAUGUUUUGAAUUUUAUUAAAAUGUAUGAAUUGUAUAUAUAUGUGUUAGUCAAUGUAUAUUUGAGUUUAUAAGAUAAAAUAAAUUGCAUAAAUUCUAUAUAUAUUUAGCCGAAUAUAUAUAUGCUGAGUUUUGUAAGUUGAAUGAAAUUUAAUGAAUUGGAUAUAUGUUAGCCGAAUGUAUGUAUUGAAUUCGAUUGGUUGAAAUUAAUCAUAUGAAUUAUAUGUAUGUUAGCCAAUGUAUGAUUUGAGUUCGAUAAUUUGAAGCUUAUAGUAUAAAAAUAUAUAUAUAAUAACCGAAUGCAUGUAUUGAGUUCUAUGAGCUGAAUUUAAUGAUAUGAACUAUAGAUAUGUUAUUCGAAUGUAUGUUUGCUACGAAGAUUGGAAUAUAAUUCGAUUUUUGCUGAGAUACGAUUAUUGAAAAGAUUUAUAUGAGAUAUAAAGAAUAUCUAGAUUUUCUUAUAAAGAAUUUUGUGAAAGACCAAUUUCAUAUCCGUGGUAUUCAGGCUCGAUGCCUAGCAGGCUUAAUGCCGGUGAAUUAUUUCAGACUUUAUGUCUAGCAGGCUUAAGGCCGGUGAAAUGAUUCGGUCUUUCAGUCUAGCAGGCUAAGUGCCGGUGAUCUGAAUCAGGUUAUAAACCUAGCAGGCUAAGUGCCGGUGAUCUGAAUCAGGCUAUAAGCCUAGCAGGCUAAGUGCUGGUGAAUAUGUUAAAUUAAGUGAUUAUAUGCAUUUGAUAUAUAUAAAUAUAUAAAUGAUUUUGGGUUAUAUAUAAUGGAUAAGUACAUGAACAUUUAUUUAUAUGUAUUUGAUGAGCAUAUAAAUGUUUUGAUCUAUGUGUUUAGUGAAUAGACACAUAUACUGGUUGUUAUGAAAAUUGUUGAAUAUACAUGUAUGCAUUCGGCACAUGUGGGUUAGAAGUAUAAAUGUGCAUUUGGUUCAAGUAGUUGAUAAAUAAAAAUAUAAGCUUUUGACAUAUGUAUUUGUAUGAUCAUAGAUAUGCAUUCGACGAAAUGCAAAUGAUAAGUAUGUUAGAAAUUAGUAUAUGCAAUUAAUGAUUAUGUUUGUAACUUGAUUAUAAGCAUAUAAUGUUUAUACAUAUGUUCGUUUAUAUGUAUUUUUAAUAUGCUAUAAACUUAGUAAGCUAUAAAGGCUUACUUUGAUUGUUUUUGUCCUUUUGUUUUAUAGAUAAAAACCAAGCUGCAAACUCGGGGAUCGUUAACGAAGAUCAUCACUCUAUCUAUUAUCUCAGUAUUAAAACGUUUAAAUUUUAACUUAUGGCAUGUAUAGGCUAAAAAAAAUAUUUUGGGAGUCGUACUUUAAUGUACUGUAUAUAUAUAAUUAAUAGCCAUAUGAAACUAGCUUUUUUUUCUUACGGUUUAACUGAACUGAAAUGUUAUGUUUUGUUAUAAAAGGUUAAAGUAAAAAUUUAUAAUUAUACUUACUUCAUAUUUUACUAAUUUAACAUAAAUGUAAAAUUCUUGAAUUCUACUGAAUGUCUGUGUUAAGUUGCGUUUUAUCUUGUAACGAUUUGUAACCCUAAUUUAUCGAUGUAUACGGGUUAAGAGUGUUACAGAAUCUAUCCGAAGAAAUAUAGUGACACCCAGUGUCUCAUCGACUCGAGGUCGAAGCAUCCCUGAACUCUUCCAAUCCUAUGGCAUGCCAACUAUAUUCGACUCAGCCCGACUAUUUAAUAGGUUCUCCAAAUUCACAUUUCAAUUCAAUCCACUUUUUCACUUUCAAUCACAAUUCAAUUCAAAAUUCACUUUUCCAUUUUUUUCUUUCAAAUCAAUAUUCAACUCAAUCCACACAUAUAUUCAUCAUUCGAUUGAAUUUCUUUAACUUAAUAAUAAUACUUACCUUAUAUUUCACUUACCAUACAUAUAAAUUUAAAUAUAGCAUUUAAUUAUAAGUUAUUUGAAUUAUAGUAAUACAAACCCGAAAUCCGCGAUUACUCCUCGAUGAUCUUCUCUUUUCCUUUCUGUGCCAAUGUCUCGGGUUCUUUAUUAGCUUCGAAAAAUGAAGAUAAUUUCAUAAUCAAUAAUAGACUAUUAAUUUAUAUCUAAUUAAUUGAAUUUCUAUUCAAAUUUCUACUUUAAUUUGAAUUUAGUCUUAACUAAAUUCACUUUUUUUUCUAUCUCAAUUCAUACUUUAUUUCAAUUCAAAUUUCAACCAAACUUAGACAUAACUAUCUAAAUUUUAUCAUAAAACCCUAAUUUCGAAAUUCUUGCAAUUUAGUCUCUACUAUGUAGAACUAAUAGCUUCUUUUACAAUUUAAUCCUUCAAUCAAUUCUAACUAAAAAUUCAUUCAAUUAAACCUCUAAUUCAACAAUUUGUUCAACAUAUAUCAUGUUCAAAAACCUAAAAAAAACUUCUAAAACCUCAACUUAAUUUCAAAAAAACUCUAUUCUAAAGCUUCUAAAACAUCAAAAUUAAAAGAAAAUGGCUUAAUUGACUUACCCGUUAAAGCUUCAAACCUUAAAACCCUAGUUUUUCCUUUUAUUUUUCUUUUUCUCCUUUCCCUGCUCUAUUUCGAAAUCGCUAUUCUGUUUCUUCUUUCUUUAUUUGUUUCCUUUCUUUUAUCUUAUUUACUUUAUAUUAUAUUUGAUUUAAUUAAUAAUUAAUAACUAUAAAAUAUCUUUAUACUUAAAUUACAAGUAAAUUAUGUAUUUAAAUUACAAUUGUACCAAUAUGAUUUUUUUACACAUGUAUAUUUUUGUUACCAUACAUUUGUUACAGUUCAAUUGAUUUACUUACAAUAUAAUAAUUUUUGUUACCAAUAUAAUAAUUUAAUAUAUAAAAUAUCUUUUACUUACAAUUCAAGAAAAUAUACAAUUAUAUUACAAGUGUACAAAUACAUAUAUUACACAUGUACAAUUUUAUCAUCAUACAUUUGUCUUUAUUUUAAUUUAUUAAUAAUAAUAGUAAUAAUAAUAGUAAUACAUAUACUGCCUCACCUAUUAAAAUGGGCACAAUUGCCUAUUUAGCCCUCUUUAUUUUAUUUUGAUCUAUAAUUAGAAUUUUACCCUUUAUUCACUUUAGUCCUUUUUCUUAUUUUCUCUUAAUUAAACUAAAUUAACUUAAUUAAAAUCUAAUUAAACACACUGCUAGACUCAUAAAUAUUCCUAAUAAUUAUCUAUUGGUUCAAUUUUCUAAGACAAAGGUCCGCUACUACACUUUUCUGAUGUCUGUGAAUUUUGGGUUACAAUUUUCUUAUUAUUUUCAAAUUAACCCUCAAUGUCACGAAACUAUAAAAAAUAAAAAAAAUUAGACCAAAUUACACAAAGUGUUGUUUAGGUUAAUUUUUUUAGAAUAAAAACUAAAUGGAUAUAAUUUAUAAAUGUUGAGGGUUAAAGUCGUUAUCAUGUGAAUUUUAAAAGUAUCCACCUUUAGCCAACUGGUGGCCCAAAAAGACAAAAUUGAAUAUUUAUGCGAUUAUUUUGUAACUUUUCAUAGUUGAAUGACCAAAAAAAAAUUUACUAUUACUUAAGUGAUUACUAGUGUAAAUUACCCUCAUUAUUAUUAAAAGAAAUAAAUUCAUUAAUAUCGCUAGUUCAUGAGCUACCCAUUAUCAAACCUCCCAGCGUGGUGAAAUAGACAUAAUUUGUUGAGGGAUAAAAACAAUAUAAAUAAUAUUUUUCAUCUUAUUAUAGAGUAUUUUAAAAUUGAAUAUUGUUGAACAACUUUUAACUUUUGGAGAAAAAUAUUUGAAGUGUCGUUCGUUGGGCAUCUAGUCAAAUUCUCAACAAUGGUUAGUAAUGUUCCCUGUAAGGUUUUGUCUUUCGUAUUUGCCAAAGGUCCUAAAGGGUUCAUGAAAGGGGAACAUCUCAUUUGGUAGAAAUACAACCUGCAUUGCUCAUGUAACAAUCCAUUUUUAGUGGUACAGGAAACGGUGGUUUCAGAAUCUCAUUUUUUGAUGAUUGAGUUUGUGAAUAUUAUUUUUUAAUAUUUACGAGUUUAUCUUAGUGUCAUAUUGAUUUUUUGUCUUGAAAUUUCAAUGAAACGGUUAGUAAUUAAAGUAUAAGGACUAAACCAUAAAAACCUUAAAGAGUUAAUUGUUAUUAAUUUUAUUGGUUUAAAGGGUUGAAAAGUAUUAAGCCAAGUGUUGAAAUGGCAAAUUACUUUUUUUAAUAGAUAGUGUACGGUUUGGUAAGCUUUGUUUACUAAAUCAUGCAAAUUUUAUAAUUAAUAAAAUAAAAUAAAAUGAGAUAAUCAUAGAACAUAUUGUAGUGGAAGGAAAGAGGGAAGGGCUAUUCCAUUUUUUUUUCUUUUUUCAUCCAUCUUCUUCACGAAAUAAGAAGAAAGAAUUAGGGCUCUUAACGUCGAACUUUUGGCCUUGUGCAUGGUACAAAAAUUUCAUUCUUUUCUUUUAAUUUUUAUGUUUUUGAGAUCGUUUUAUUUUGAUUUAGCUAACUCGGGUAUUAAAUCGUAAAACUAUUAAAGUUUUAAAAAGUUACCAUUGUUGUUCUUUGAAGCUUUUGAUGUUCAAUAGAUGAAUGUUAAGCUUGGAAAUGAAAUAGGGACUAGUUUGUAAAGAAAACUUGGUUAAUUUUGACUCUAGGAACUAAAAUGCAAUUAUUUCAAAACUGUCAUGGAAUUUCUAUACUUUUGGCUUUUAUUGAGUUAUAAAAGGAAGAAAUUAAAAAUGGAGUGAAAAACAGAGCUUAAAUGUGAAAGAUAUGAUUGUUUUCAAAUUUUAGGACUCAAUUGAAUAAAAUGUGAAACUUUAAAAUUUUUAAAAAAUAAAGAAAAUAGAUCCAUGUAUAUCAUAUUAUGGAAAAAGUACAUACACAACAUUCAACACAACAAUUUUUCUGAUUUUAACGUUCAACCUUGACAUAGGGCCUCAUUGAUAAUUCUAUCAAAGUUGGUAACAGAAGAUCCUCCAACGCUAAUGGCAGAUUUAGCUUUUUUCUUCCAUUCCAAUGUCUUUUACCUUAUCCUUUGCCCAUUAUCUCCUUCCAUUAUCUCUUUAACAAGAGCCUCCACAUCCUUACACUUUACAUUAGGGUUGAUUUCCAUUCUAUUGCCCCAUGUGGUGCACGAAUAUCGACAAUUUGUUUGUUGAUCACCAAAGAAAGGCCAACAAAUUAAAGGCGCACCUUCGGAUACAACUUCCAACAGAGAAUUCCAUCUGCAGUGUGUUAAGAAAAUGCCAACCGCUAGGUGGGACAACACUUGUUAUUGGAGACACCAGCUUGUUAUAAAGCCCCUUUCUUUUAUUGCCUCCAUGAAUUCUCUCGGAAAAACAACCGAUUCUCCCAUCACAAUGUCAGGCCUAACUACCCAUAAAAACGGGUAUUUACUAUUUGCAAGUCCCCAAGCAAAUUCUUUCAAAUUAUGGUUCGACAUCACUGUUACACUCCCAUAGUUCACAUACACCACCGACUUGGGUUUCAUUGUGUUAAGCCAUUCGAUGCAACUUGUAUUCUCCUUUCAUAGGCUUGAAUUUAGUGAGUUAUGUUGGAUUUCAAGUAGGUUCCUACUUAGGGAGGUGAGUGGACCAAUUGCAUAAAUAUUAGGGGACUUGGAUGCAAGAACUUGUAGCACUUCUUUAUCCAAGUCAUCGAACGUGUUGAAGAUUAUUGAAGAUGAAUUUAAGCAUUCUUGUGAUACGUCCAUGAUGUAAUUAAACAUGAAGUCAUCAGGGUCAGUGGUUCUUAUGAAGCUUGGUACGUCCUUGAGACGCAUGUUAGGCAUACCAGAGAUCCAAUCAAUGCGCAUCUCAAGUGUCCCAUCGUUAGCAAAGCGUUCAUCUACAACGAAAACAAAAUGCAUGUUUUUGUUUCAAUAUGCAAAAAAAUAAGCAUGGAGUAUGUUGCGUGUAACGCAUAGAACUUCAAAGAGAUUAUUAUCAAUGAAUAUAAGAUAUCCCAAAAUUAAGUUACAAAGCACAAAGAAAACAUAAACUUUGUAACCUUUGAAUGGAACAAUGCCUCUUUGAGCUAGUUCUUUGUAGUGCAGAAAUCCCAAAAAGCUAACGGUUGAAGAAGUCCAGAGUUGAACAUAAGGCACCCCAAUGAGUUGAGCUGCCUUGGUACCACAGUUCAUGAUUCCAUCACAAACUAUACAAGUAGUAGGUUGUAGUUGGGGUGAGGAGUUAAGCUUAGAUAGUAGCUCCAAGAAUAGAGCCAAACAAUUAUUUCGUGUGGCAAUGAAUAUUUUCGGAACAGACUAAGUCACAUCAGAAUCGAAAGGUGGCAGCCCAUCGGGUAUUGCUGCAAACUGGAAAUCAGGCAGACCCUUAAUGUUGAAUGUUGGUCAGUAGGCAACAAUGAACCAAACAACAAGCAGGCCAUGAAGACCUAGCCAUAUAGGAGCUGCUGGAAGAAGCUCAACUGUUCCAAUUUUUGUUCAUUUUGUAAUCUUAAGUUAAUGUAAUGUACUUUAGUUUAAUUUGAACUAAGUUAGGCUUGUGAUUGAUGUAAUUAGAUUGUGUAUGAACUGUAAACUUAGCUUUAACCAUUCUUACAAGUUUUGUUUUUCAAGUUUCAAUGUAUUAGUGGUGGUAGGUAGUGUUUAGGUGACUGCUUACUAUUUUUUGACAAGCUUAAUGCUUGGUUUAUGUAUUAGCAUUGUGCCAUUGUUCAAUUUGAAUGAAUUCAGAAAGUUUUCUUCCAUACACUCUCCAAAUUUUCUUUACUUUUCCUUAUUUUAUUUUGUCUUAAGCUCGAUUAUUUCUUAGGCAAGCCUCGAGCCUUGCUGUUCAAGUUUCUGCAAACUUGUUUGUUUCUUUGUUCUCAACACCAACAAUUGAUAUCUAGAGCUUUAAUCUUAAGGGACCUAUUAUACAAAAUGAUGGCCUCAUCAAGCUUCGCACCAGCUGCACCACCAGUCUGCAAUGAAGAGAGCUAUCACAUAUGGGUGGUUAAAAUGAAGACCUACCUGCAGGCAUUUGAUCUGUAGGAGGUGGUCAACUCAGAUGUUGAACAAGAGCUACUUAGAGCCAAUCCAACAAUGGCUCAAAUCAGGCAGCAUGCUGAUGAAAGGACCAAGAGGCGCAAAGUAAUGUCUUGCAUCCAGAACUCGGUUUCAGAUGUGAUCUUUACAAGGAUCAUGGCCUGUGAAACACCAAAGCAGGCCUGGGACAAAUUAAAAGAGGAGUUUCAAGGGACAGAGAGGACAAGGCAGCAAUAGUUGUUAAACUUGAGAAGGGACUUUGAGAAUUUGAAGAUGAAAGAAGAAGAAACUAUCAAACAGUACUCAGACAGGAUUAUGGCUAUGGUAAACAGCAUAAGGAUCUUUGGUGAGCAGUUUACUGAAGCAAUGAUAGUGGAGAAGGUUAUGAGGCAAAAAUCUCAUCUCUCGAAGACUCAAGGGACCUGUCCAGCAUCUCCUUCACAGAGUUGAUCAAUGCUCUCUAUGCGUAAGAGUAGAAAAGAGCCAGCAGACUGGAGGAGCACUAAGAAUGUGCCUUUCAGGCAAAGACCGAUACUGCCUACAAAGGCAAGAAGGCCUGGAAAGACAAGCCAAAGUUUGAUGCUGCAAGAAAAGGGGACCAAACCUGCAGGCAUUGUAAAAGGUUUGGUAAUCCAGAAGAAAAAUAUUGGUUUAGACUAGAUACAUUGUGUCAACAUUGCAAGAAGAAAGGGCAUGUUAAAAGGUUGUGCAAAAACAAGGGCAAACCAAGGUAGAACCAACCCCAACAAUCAAGGCUGAGGCUCGAGUAGCCAAGGAAGACAGUGAUCAUGAAGAGUAAGUUUUUACUGUGCCAUGCUGAGCUGCUCAGGAGAGGCUUUCAAAUGGAUAGCUCCUAGAAAGUGGAUACACCAACCACAUGACACCAGAUGUUGCCAUCUUCAAGUCCUUGGACAGAAGCUGCAGAACCAAAGUUAAGAUUGGUAAUGGUCACUUUAUAAAAGUAGAAGGUAAGGGUGAUGUGUUGAUAUGCACUCCCACAGUUGCCAAGGUCAUCUCGAAUGUGCUAUUGGUGCCUGAGAUUGACAGAAACCUGCUCAGCAUAGCUCAAUUGCUAGAGAAAGGGUAUUCUGUAGUGUUCAAAGGCAAGGAGUACCAAACCAUUGAUCCAAGUGGAUCCAAAUUCAUGGCAGUCACUAUGGCUGAUAAGAGCUUUGUACUUGAUUGGACAGAGGACUUAGACACUACCUAUACAGCUACAACAGAUGAAUCUAAGCUUUGGCAUCAAAGACUUAGUCAUGCCAACUACAGAUCAAUGGACCAGUAAUGCAGAGAUGAUUUGCUGAAAAUUUCAUUGGUUCAGUUAAAAAGUAGGAGGUUUAUGAGGUAUGUCAGCUAGGGAAGCAACCUAGACUCCCAUUUCCCUCAAAUCAAGCCUGGAGAGCCUUUGAAAGGUUGCAGCUAGUGUACACUGAUGUGUAUGGUCCUAUGAAGACUGAGUCAUUGAAUGGAAGCAGGUACUUCAUCCUGUUUAUUGAUGAUUUCUUAAGGUUUUGUUGGAUUUAUUUCUUAAAACAGAAAUCAGAAGUAGGUUCAGUGUUUACAAAGUUCAAGAUUGCUGCUGAAACUGAAAUAGGCUGCAAACUUAAGACCAUAAGGUCUGACAAUGGGACUGAGUACACCUCAGCUCAGUUCCAAGCCUUUUGUGAUGAGGCAGGCAUCAAACACCAGCUCACCAACACCUACACUCAACAAAAUGGUGUAAGUGAGAGGAAAAAUAGGAGUUUGAUGGAUAUGGCCAGGUGCCUACUGUUUCAGAAGAAUCUGUCCAAAACCAUAUGGGCAGAGGCAGUCAAUACUGCUGUGUACAUUCAGAAUAGACUUCUCACCAAGGCCCUAGCUCAUAAGACUCCAUUCGAAGCCUGGUUCAGGUGCAAACCUUCACUGGCUCAACUAAGGGUCUUUGGUAGCAUAUGCUAUGCUCAUGUACCAAUAUUAAAGAGAGACAAAUUAAGUACAAAAGCUGAACCUGGUAUACUGGUGGGGUAUAGCUUAGUCAAAAAGGGCUAUAGGAUCUUGGACCCUUCAACAAGCAAAGUGUUAGUAAGUAGGGAUGUAGUGUUUGAUGAGAAGUCACGCUGGAAUUAGGAAAAGAAUGAGCCACAAGCAGUUUCUGAAGAUCUUGUAACAAAUCAAAUUGAUUCAGAUCAAAAUGGUCCUGAAAUGGACAUUGAUGAUGAACCAGUCAGGGGCACUAGACCUUUGGCUACAAUCUAUGAAAGGGCUCAAGUAGCCAUAGUAGAGCGAAGCUGCUUUGAAGAGGCUGAAGCUCAGCAAGGGUGGAAGUAAGCAAUGGCUGAUGAAAUCAGCAUGAUUGAGAAGAAUCAGACUUGGGAAUUAGUUGAAAGACUAACAAAAAGGAAGAUCAUUGGAGUGAAAUGGGUUUAUCGAGCCAAGCACAAUGCUGAUGGGAGCUUGAAUAAGUUAAAAGCAAGGCUGGUUGUUAAGGGAUUUAGCCAGAAGUAUGGUCUGGACUACCUGGAGACCUUUGCACCAGUGGCCAGACUCGACACCAUUAGGCUGCUGAUUGCCUUAGUAGCACAAAUGGAAUGGAAAAUCCACCAUCUCAAUGUGAAAUCAGCCUUCCUAAAUGGAUUUCUUGAGGAAAAAAUCUAUGUUGAACAACCAUAGGGUUUUGAAGUGGUUGGCAAAGAACACAUGGUCUACAAACUGAAGAAAGCCUUGUUUGGCUUAAAACUGGCUCCAAUGGCCUGGUAUAGCAGUAUUGAUAGCUAUCUGAUCAGUUUGGGAUUUGAAAGAAGCAAGAGUGAGCCAACUUUAUAUGUCAAGAAGGAAGGUGCACAAACUCAGCUCAUAGUAUCUCUGUAUGUUGAUGACCUGCUAGUGACAGGAGGAGAUCAAACAAUGCUGAUUGAUUUCAAAACCAAAAUGUAACAAGUGUUUGAGAUGUCUGAUCUAGGAAAGAUGACCUAUUUUCUGGGCAUGGAAGUGACACAGAUGCACAAUGGGAUUUUCGUAAGUCAGAAAACCUUUGCUUCAAAAAUUCUGACCAAGUUGUCAAUGGGAAACAACAAAGCAACAAAGACUCCUGUUGCUAUUGGAGAAAAGCUAUCGAGCAAUAGUGAGUUUGUGAAGGUUUGUGAAACAACCUAUAUGAGCUUGGUUGGUUGCUUGUUGUACUUAACAGCCACUAGGCCUGAUAUUAUGUUCACAGUAAGUUUGCUCUCAAGGUUCUUGCAUUGCGGCAACGAAAAGUAUUUUCAAGCUGCAAAAAGAGUACUCAGAUAUGUCAAAGGUACGUUGAGCUAUGGCUUGAUGUAUAGUAAAGCUGAAAGCUUCAAGUUAGUUGAAUACACUGACAGUGACUGGCCUGGUUCGAUUGAUGACAUGAAAAGCACUUCAGGGUAUGCCUUCAAUCUCAGUUCAGCCAUGUUCUGUUGGAGCUCGAAGAAGCAAACAUUGGUGGCUCAAUCUACUGCUGAAGUAGAAUAUGUUGCAGUAGCAAGUGCUGUCAACCAAGCCAUUUGGCUAAGGAAAAUUAUGGUUGAUUUGAAUUUAGAUCAAAGGGAAGCAACAAAGAUCUUUUGUGGCAAUCUAUCUGCUGUUUCAAUUGAAAAGAAUCCAGUGUUCUAUGGAAGAACAAAGCAUUUCAACAUUAAACUUCAUGUUGUUCAAGAAAUAGAGUAGGCACAAGAGGUGAAACUGAUUCAUUGCAAUUCAGAGGAUCAACUUGCUGACAUUUUGACCAAGGCCCUUAGUACAACAAGGUUCUAGCACUUAAGGGAGAAAUUAGGAGUUUGCAACAUGCUAACCAAGGAGGAGAGUUGAAUGUUGACCAACAUGCGACAAUAAACAAAAUAGCAAGUAGGCCAUGAAGACCUAGCCAUGCAGGAGCUGCUGGAAUAAGCUCAACUGUUCCAAUUUUUGUUCAUUUUGUAAUCCUAAGUUAAUGUAAUGUACUUUAGUUCAAUUUGAACUAAGUUAGGCUUGUGAUUGAUGUAAUUAGAUUGUGUAUGAGCUGUAAACUCAGCUUUGACCAUGCUUACAAGUUUUGUUUUUCAAGUUUCAAUGUAUUAGUGGUGGUAGGUAGUGUUUAGGUGACUGCUUACUAUUUUUGGACAAGCUUAAUGCUUGGUUUAUGUAUUGGCAUUGUGCCAUUGUUCAAUUUGAAUGAAUUCAGAAAGUUUUCUUCCAUAUACUCUCCAAAUUUACUUUGCUUUUCAUUCUUUUAUUUUGUCUUAAGUUUGAUUGUUUCUUAGGCAAGCCUCGAGCCUUACUGUUCAAGUUUCUGCAAACUUGUUUGUUUCUUUGUUCUCAACACCAACACUUAAUAGCUUCUUCUCCUCUAGACCGUAUCAAUUGUCUAUGAUUGAACUCGGAGUUGACAAAGGUUAUAUAGAAGCCUCUAGAGUGCAAGAGCUUGGCCAGUUGCAUCAUGGGGUUAAUAUGACCUUGUGCUGGGAAUGGGAGACAUACUGCAUGCGAUUUAAUUGAACGCAUCUUUCUGCAAAUAAUAAUUAAGCAAAGAAGUCAAGUAGGUAGUGAAAAUUGAAGAUACUAUUACUAACUUGUGACAUUAUAUGCAGAAAGUGAGGGGAUAGAGAUAAACAGGAUAAAGCAGGCGAAAAUUAUGGCUCCAUUUAAUUAUGGUGUAAAACAAUUGCCAUUGGAUGAGGUUGAGAAAAUAUCAACUGCUUCUCAGUAGUGCUUAAUAAUUCUAAGCCACGUGAGUUUGGAUGGGUGAUUGGGUGUGGUGCGGUGAGUUUAGUUUACUUUUUAUUUCACGUUACAGUAUCGCUACAGUAUCUAAACUCACCGCCACAGAAUUUUUUACACUAACCGUAAGUAAAAACACCGUUCAUUCAAACCCAUAAAAGUAACAAUAUUCAAAAGUGAAAGUUACUUGUGCUUAGUAAAUAAUGUGUUAUAAUUCGGUAAGGAAUGAAUUUAAACAUGCUUGAUAACGAUUGGUGAGAGAUGCAACGAAAAUACAUUCAAGAAUUUUGAUAUAUUAAUCUAUUGACAAUGCCUCCUUUUUGUUUUUCGAAAUUGACUGCUCAAAACCAGAAACAAUGCCUUUAAAAAUGUGGGACAACCAAAUAAGAACCUAGUUUGAAUAAAUUGCAUUGUCUUUCCCCUGUUUCUUGUUUUCCACCUUUUUCCUUAAUGAAUAAAUUUGUUUUUGAUUGAAAAAAAAUUAAAAUAAUUAUUUGAAUGAACUAAUGUUUUUAUAAUAAUAAAUAAUUCAAAUUUUACUAAAUAAAAAAAUUACAGUAAUUAAAUCUCAAAUUUAAACAUAUAUAAUAAAAGGAUCAUAAUUAUAAUUAUAAUAUGACCGAAUAUAAUAUAUAUCAAACACAAAUUAUAUCAAAUAAAAAUGUAGCAACUAAAUCAUAAAUUUGCAUAUAGUAAAAAGAUAAAUUUACUGAUUAAAAAUUUAAUUAAAAUUCUUAAUUAAUAAAUAAAAAAUUUCAAUCAUCUAGAUUUUAUAUUGAAGAUAUAAUUAUUUUACAUAAACAUCUAUCUAAAUUUUAAUAAACAUUAGAAUAAAUAUCAUCAUUUAAUAUAAAAAAAAUUAUAAUAAGUUAGUUUCAAUUAUAUUCAAAUACUUUAUGACCAAUUAAAUUAAUUAGGUAGCAAUUUUUUAGGGAAUGUAGCUAUUCUUAUUAUUUAUUAUUAAGGUUUAAGGGUGAAGAAACUCUUAAAUUUUUUUUAGAAAAAGUAAUUAAGUUUUUUUUUACACUUAAUUGGGUAUUUAAAUUACCAAAAUAUAUCAAAAAGACCUUUUGGCCGUUUAUUUUAACAAUUGACUGUUAAAGUUGUCUUUAAACUUUUCCAGUUAAAUCCACCACGUGUCACAACUACGGCGUGACACGUGACAAAAAAUUAUAAAAAAAUAAAUCAACAAAAGUUAUAAAAAUUAUUAAAUUUUAAAAAAUAUAUUUAAAAUUUAUUAAAAAUUUUAAAAAAUAUAAAUAUCGUAAAAUUUUAUAAAAUCAUAAAUAAAUAUAAAAUGUAUCAAAAGGGCCCUUUAACUAUUGAUCGUUAAAGUUAAUUACCCUACUUUUUUUCAAUUAAAGUAAUCACGUGUCGCAACACAACGUGACAUGUGACAAAAAAAUGUGGAUUGGUUGUGAGGAUGUUGUAAUUGAUUUAAUUCAUAAUGUUGUUGUCUAAGUUGCUUGCUAGAUGAUGUAGUCGGCUCGACUAUGGGUUGACUAGGGAUUGCAGGAUGGAGUGGCUACUCGUAAUGGCAAGGCAAUUGUACCGACAUGUUUUACUCAAUGGUGUUGAUAUCGUAACUUCAAAAGUGUAUGCAAUUUGAAUUGCUCUAGAUGUUUUUGUGCAAACAGAAUGGAUCCCUCAUAGUAGAAUCUCAAAUGUGUUUGUGGAAUCUCGUAUGCUUAACAAUAUCACUCAAAUGUGUCAAGGGAAGUUAUUUGUAUGGAUGCUGCCUUGGCUAAUAAACGAUAGGGUAUUAAAAUUUGAGUUGUUUUUGGGUUGGUGGACAUUUAUUUUUUGCUUUAUUGUUCUGGUCUCCAAUGGACUGCUUCAGGCGAGACGCAUAUUAGAUGUGCCUUGUAGUGUGUUUCUUAUGGGUUCUGUUUGUGUUUCGACUUUUUUUUAUUUUGUUGCUCUGUUCUGGUCUUUUUGUUGUACGGAAGCGUGUAAAAGAGUAAAAUUAUUGUACUAAAAAAUCACACUAAGUUCAAUUUCCAGGAAAGAGAGGUGGAUCAUAAGGAUCGCUUAAGUACCAGGUCUUUCCUAGCCAUAAUAUACCCCAAUCGUAAUUUAAUAUCACAAUAAAUCACUACAAUAAAACUCACAAAAUAUGCAGAAUAAUACCAUAAAGAACACAAGAAUUUUAACGAGGUUCAGUAAAUUUUGCCUACGUCCUCGGGCACUAUCAAAUAUAUUUCACUCCAAAAUACAAGUGAAAAUUUACAAAGAGAUAGAGAACAAUGCCUUAAGUAGAGAAUGACAAAUAUAGGAUACUAUAAAUGAGAGAUGGUUAGGCCUAUUUAUAGUUGAGGUUCAGGGAUCAACUUGCAAAGGCACUAUACAAUUAGGGACCAAAUAUUGCAAAUAUCUCAGAUUUCUUAUGUCAAUAUUUCGAAACCCAUAUCUUUGACUUUCCAAUAUUUGAUACCCAUAUCUUUGACUUUCCAUAAUAUGGAUGAUUGUCAAUAAUCUCCACCUUGAAGGUUUGAUUCGAAUAAUCUUAUCUUUACACAAUUCUCUCUGCCUUUGUCAACAACACUUGAUAGUGCCUUCUUCAACUGUUAAACUUGCAGAAUAUUGAUCAAGUUCAAACAAUGUUCAAACUUUAUUGUUGUUACCACCUUGGUCAUCAUAUUUGUGGGAUUAUCUGCAGUCUUAAUCUUCUAAUUUUCCCCUCAUCAAUAAUUUCCCACACAAAAUUGAAACGUAUGUCGAUAUGCUUUGUACGUGCAUGAUAGACUUGAUUCUUUGCUAAAUGAAUAGCACUUUGACUAUCACAAUACACGUUAAUAUGCUCUUGAACCAAGCCUAAGGUUUUAACCAUACCUUGUAACCAAGUAGCUUUAUUUACAGCCUCUGUUACAGCCAUGUAUUCGGCUUCUGUGGUUGACAACGCAACUGUAGACUGCAGUAUAGACUUCCAACUUAUUCGUCCUCCAACAAGUGUAAACACAUAACCGGUGGUUGAUCUUCGUUUGUCCAAAUCACUGCCAUAAUCAGAAUCAACGUACCCAAUAUCACCUUUACCAAGUGUAGUAUCCUGCUUAAACAGUAAUCCAAUAUUCAUGGUCUUCUGAAUAUACCGUAGAAUCCAUUUCACAACUUGCCAAUGUCCUUUUCCAGGAUUAUGCAUAUACCUGCUCACUAUACUAACUACCUGUGAAAUGUCGGGUCUUGUACACACCGUUGCAUACAUCAAGCUACCUACUACAUUAGAAUACGGAACUUGUAACAUGUAUUCUUGUUCUGUAUUCGUCGAAGGAGAUAGUUGUACAGAAAGCUUGAAAUGACAAGCCAACGGGGUACUUAUAGCUUUUGUCUGCUCGUUCUUGCCAAACUUCUGUAGUACCUUCUUCAAAUAUUGCUUCUGAGACAAGCUAACUCUGCCAUGAGCUCUAUCUCUACAUAUUUCCAUGCCAAGAAUCUUCUUAGCUUCACCUAGAUCUUUUAUCUCAAACUCAAGGUUGUGUUGAGUCUUCAAUCUCUCAAUUUCAACUUUACUCUUAGAUGCUAUCAACAUAUCAUCAACAUAUAAGAGCAAGUAUAUGAAAAUUCCUUCUUGUAGCUUCUAAAAAUACAUGCAAUGAUCAAAUUUACUUCUUUUGUACCUUUGCCCUUUCAUGAACUGAUCAAAUCGCUUGUACCACUGCCUCGGAGAUUGUUUCAAUCCAUAAAACGACUUUGUUAGUUUGCAAACCCAAUUUUCUUUAUUAGCAACCUUGAAUCCAUUUGGCUGAGUCAUAUAGAUAUCAUCUUCUAAAUCAGCGUGUAAAAAUGUGGUCUUCACAUCAAGCUGAACUAGUUCAAGAUCAUAUUGCACAAAUAAGGCUAGCAAAAUCCGAAUAGACGAAUGCUUCACAAUUAAAGAAAACAUUUCAUUGUAGUCUAUUCCUUCUUUCUGAGUGUAACCUUUUGCUACCAAUCUAGCCUUGUAUCGAACUUCAUUUUUACCAGGAAAUUCUUCUUUCUUUGUAUUUACCUAAUUGCAUCCAAUUGCCUUCUUUCCUUUGGGUAGUGUCACCAACUCCCAAAUCCUAUUUUUAUGAAGAGACUGCAUUUCUUCAUUCAUAGCUUGCUUCCAUUUUACACCAUCAGGGUUACUUCUUGCUUCUUUGUAAGUAGAAAGAAUAUCGUCAUCUGCAAUUAGAAGUGCAUAGGCCAGCAUACCAUCAAAGCGAGCAGGCAUACGAAUCUCUCUUCUUGCCCUCCUAUAUGCAAUUGAAUCUUGUUGUUGUAGAAGUUCUUGGGUCGAAACUUCUACAUCAUUUGUUCCUUCAAUAUUAGCUAGAUCAUCAUUAACAUUUUCUAGCUCCACCUGCUACAAAGCACUACUAGUUUUGUCAUCCUUUUGUGAAUCAUUAUUCUUCAUCAUGGUUGAUUCAUCAAAAGUCAUAUCUCUACUGAAAACAAUCUUCCUUGUAUCAGGAUACCAGAGACGGUAUCCUUUUACUCCACCAGUUAUACCCACGAAUAAUGCUUUCUUUGCUCUUGGAUCUAACUUAGAUUCUUUUACAUGAUAAUAUGCAGUAUAACCAAAAACAUGAAAAGAAUCAUAAUUAGUAGUAGGUUUACCAGUCCACCUCUCCAUAGGAGUUUUUCUAUUUGUUGCAGCUGAUGGCAACCGGUUAAUUAGAUGACACCCAUAUGUAACUGCCUCAACCCAAAAUUCUUUGUCCAAUCCAGCAUUGGACAACAUACAUCGAACUUUCUCCAGUUGAGUCUGAUUCAUACGUUCUGCCACCCCAUUCUAUUGUGGUGUAUCCCAAAAAGUGAAGUGUCGCACAAUGCCCUCAUCUUGACAUACUUGUAGAAAUGGAUCAUUCUUGUACUCAGUACCAUUGUCUGAUCGAAGUCGUUUGAUCUUUCGACCAGUCUCGGUCUCCACCAACUGCUUCCAUUUCAAAAAUGCAUCCAAAAUUUCAUUUUUUUUCUUUUCAUAAGAUACACCCAUACUUUUCUUGAAUAAUCAUCAACAAAAGUAACAAAAUAGUGCAUACCUCCCAAAGAAGCCACUUUAGUAGGUCCCCACACAUCACUGUGAACGUAGUCUAGAAUUCUUUUUGUAUUGUGAAUUACUGAACCAAAAUUUAUCCUCGUCUGCGUGCCCAGAAUACAAUGUUCACAGAAUUCCAAUUUGCAAGAAUUUGCACCUUUCAACAAGCCUUGCUUCGCUAAACUCUGCAAAGCUUUUUCACCAGCAUGUCCCAAUCAUAUAUGCCAUAACCUGGUUGCCUCUGAAUCUGCAUCUUUUGCAGAAGUUGUUGAUAUUGAUCCAAUAAUUGUACUUCCAUUUAAAUAGUACAUGUUAUUCCUUCUUGUGCCUUUCAUCACCGUCAAUACCCCAGCUACUACUUUUAGUAAUCCAUCUCUCAAAGUGAUUGUGAGCCCUUAAGAUUCUAGGACCCCUAAUAAGAUGAGAUUUUUCUUCAAGCUAGGUAUGUAGCGAACAUCUGUCAAGACUUGAAUUGAGCCGUCGUGAUUCUUCAAAUGGAUUGUACCUACUCCCAUUGUCUUAUAAGCGCUGUCAUUGCCCAUAAAAAUAACUCCACCUUCUAGUUCUUUAAGACUAGAAAACCAGUCCUUAUUAUGACACAUAUCAUAAGUACAUCCCGAAUCCAAAAUUCACUCAUCUGUAUGAAAUGCCAUUGCCAUGCUAAACAAGCUAAAGUCUGACUCAUCAUCAUGCUUUGCUACACAUGCAUCAGAAAUAGCCUUGCCCUUUUGUAACUUAGGACAAUUUUUUUCCAAUGCCCUUUCUCAUGACAAAAGGCAUAUUCAUCUUUGGCAGGUCUCCCUUUGGACUUACUCCUUCUACCAGAUUUGUUGCUGUGCGAACGACCUCUUACUGUUAAGACUUCUGCAGUUGUAUCUCUGUGAUAUCUUUUAUCUUUCUUUCGAGUCUCAGAUCUAUACAACGCACUACAGACUGCAUCAAACGUGAUUGUAUCCUUCCCAUGAAGCAAUGUGGUGGUAAGAUGAUCAUAUUCAUAAGGAAGAGAAUUCGACAACAAUAAUGCAUUGUCUUUAUCUUCAAAUUUCUCAUCCAAAUUUAGCAAGUCUGGUAAAAUUUUAUUGAAUAAGUUCACAUGGUUAUUCAUCAACAUACCGGGUGUAUACGUGAAUCAAUAAAGUUUCUUUUUCAUAUAAAGCCUAUUUUCAAGACUUUUUGUUAGAAACUUUUCUUCUAGUGUAUCCCACAACUUUUUCACUGAUGUCUCCCUCAUGACAGAGUACUUCUGCUCUUUGGCCAAACAUAGGCGGAUUAUUCCACAUGCUUGUCUAUUGAUCUUGCUCCACUCCUUGUCAUCCAUCUUGUCAGGUUUUUCUUUAAGGGUUAUACCCAGCUCUUGCUGACAUAAGACAUCCAGGAUCUCACAUUGCCACAUACCAAAAUUAUUGGUACCAUCAAAUUUCUCUACUUCAAAUUUUGCAUUGGUCACAGUAGUCUUUGUUGAUGACGAUGUCUUUUCCAUUUUUCUCCUCAAUCCCAACUAUUGUACGUGAACAGUGCCGUGAACGAUCGUAUUCCCCAAGUACAAAUCUAGCUUUGAUACUAAUUGUUGUGCGGAAGCAUGUAAAAGAGUAAAAUUAUUGUACUAAAAAUUCACACUAAGUUCAAUUCCCAGGAAAGAGAGGUGGAUCAUAAUGAUUGCUUAAGUACCAGGCCUUUCCUAGCCAUAAUAUCUCCCAAUCAUAAUUUAAUAGCACAAUAAAUCACUACAAUCACACUCACAAAGUUUGCAGAAUAAUACCAUAAAGAACACAAGAAUUUUAACGAGGUUCAGCAAAUUUUGCCUACGUCUUCAGGCACUAAAAUUUUGUCUAUGUCCUCGGGCACUACCAAAUAUAUUUCACUCCAAAAUACAAGUGAAAAUUUACAAAGAGAGAGAGAGAACAAUGCCUUAAGUAGAGAAUGGAAAAUAUAGGAUACUAUGAAUGAGAGAUGGUUAAGCCUAUUUAUAGUUGAGGUUCAGGGAUCAACUUGCAAAGUCACUAUACAAUUAGGGACCAAAUAUUGCAAAUAUCUCAGAUUUCUUAUGCCAAUAUUUCGAUACCCAUUUCUCUGACUUUUCAAUAUUUGAUACCUAUAUCUUUGACUUUCCAUAAUAUGGAUGAUUGCCAAUACUUUUUUUUUAUUUUAGUUUUGAAGUUUGUAUGAUUCUAGAUUGAAGUAUAGCUUUAUUAGGGAUAUUAUGUUUCUAGUUUUUAUGGGUAAAUUAUACUUGUGGUCACCUAACUAUUAGUUUGUUUGUUUUUUGUCGGUCAACUAUAAAAAGUUACAAAAUAGUCUUUCAACUAAUACCAAAUUUCGUUUUUGAUCAUCGAACUAUGAAAAAUUAUAAGAUGACUACGUAACUAUUUAAUUUUAUUUUUUUCACCAACGGGCUAAAGGCGACAGCUUUUAAAAUUGACAUAACGGAAAUUUUAACACUCAACAUUUAUACAUUAUCAAUUUAGUCUUGAUUCUAAAAAUUCUAACCUCAACUUUUCACAUUGUGUAAUUUGGUCUUUUUUUUAAUUUUGCUUUUCUUUUUGCCCUUUUCACCUAAAAACAGAGACGGAUUUAGGGGGGUUGGCAGGGGCUCUAAACCCCCAAAAAUAGAAUAUCUGCCAUUUUGGCCCUUUAAAUUUUUUAAAAUUUUAAAUUGCUAAAGGUAAAAUUACACUUUGGCCCCCUAAAAAUGAUAAAAUUUUUAUUUAAUCCUUUCAAAAAUAUAAAGAUAUAGACAAUUUAAUUUUUCCCCCUACAAUUUUUUUCUUAGCUUUGUCCCUGCCUAAAAAGCUAAAAAACCAAAUUUAUCAACUAAAUUUGAUUAAAAAUAUAUAAUAAAAACAAGAUGAAAACACUCAAAAUUUCAAGAUAAUAAUUGUCAUAUUUUUGUAACACCCCUUAACCCUAAUUCGUCGCCAGAUCAGGGUUACGAGACAUUACCGGACAUAUCAGACAAUCUAUAAAUAAUUUCUUAAAUAAAUAACAAACAUAUUAUAAUAUAAUCGUAAAUUUAUAUAAAUAUUUAUUUUACUAAUUGAGUUCAUUUUAUUAUUAUUUUAUUUUAUGUGAUUAAAAAAAAGUCAAUAUAACCCCUUUAUAAAUAGUUAACCUUCCCUACAAUUUCAAACCGCAACCAAUUCACAAUUCAUACAAUUUCAUGUUCAAAUAACGUAAACAUAUCUUAAACAUUAACUUAGUAAUUUACUAAAUAAAUAUUCACAUAUAUUGUUUAAAUAAAUAAACUUCAUUCAUUCAAUUUUAGUUUUAGCACCAAACAUACCAUUAUAUAACUUAACGUUUCAUUUAUCAUUCAAACAUUAUAGACCAAUUCUUUACAACCAAAACUUACAAGACUCUUUAAUAAGACUGAAGUACAUGCCAUAUUUACCAAAGGAAAAAUACAUCACCAAAGUUAUGUUGAAGUCGAGAUUGAUUUGGAUGCUAAACCGGGACCUUUGACUUCUAUCGACAUGCACACAGAAACAACCGUACACUGAGUAUUUCAUACUCAGUGGUAUUACAAUAAUUCAAAUUAUAACAAUAAUAAACAUGUAAUGCAUAAAUCAUACAUACAAAUUUAAAUUCAAAUUUCAUAUUUCAACAAUAACAAUUCAUCAAUUAAUAUCAUAUAUCCACAAUUUUAAACUUGGACACAUCAUGAACCUUAGGUUCAUUCCUCAAUUUCAUAUCACAUUUCAAUUCACAAUUUAACUUUUUCAUCUCAUUUCAGUAGCUCGAUUGAUCAACUCAUUCGGUUUAUCAUUUCAUUAUUUACCUUAUUAACAAAAUUCAGACUUUGGAGGAUACACGGAUCCAACCAAACACUCCAGUAUGGCACCCAAUGCCUCAUCAGAUAGUUCGAAGUAAUAGUUGACACCCAGUGUCUCAUCGGCAAAGCUGAAAAAAGUUAGUACCCAGUACCUCUUCAAAUCUAUCCGAAGAAAUAUAGUGACACCCAGUGUCUUAUCGACUCGUGGUCAAAGUAUCCCGGAACUCUUCCAAUCCUAUGACAUGCCAACUAUAUCCGACUCAGCUCGACUAGUUAAUAGGGUCUCCAAAUUCACAUUUCAAUUCAAUUCCACUUUUUCACUUUCAAUCACAAUUCAAUUCAAAAUUCACUUUUCUAUUUUUUUUUCAAAUCAAUAUUCAAUUCAAUUCCACAUAUAUAUUCAUCAUUCGAUUGAAUUUCUUUAACUUAAUAAUAAUACUUACCUUAUAUUUCACUUACCAUAAAUAUAAAUUUAAAUAUAGCAUUUAAUAGUAAGUUAUUUGAAUUAUAUUAAUACAAACCUGAAAUCCGCGAUUACUCCUCGAUGAUUUUCUUUUUUCCUUUCUAUGCCGAUGGCUCGAGUUCUUUACUAGCUACGAAAAAUUAAGAUAAUUUCGCAAUCAACAAUACACUAUUAAUUUAUAUCUAAUUAAUUGAAUUUCUAUUCAAUUUUCUACUUUAAUUUCAAUUUAGUCUUAACUAAAUUCACUUAUUUUUCUAUCUCAAUUCAUACUUUAUUUCAAUUCAAAUUUCAACCAAACUUAGACAUAACUAUCUAAAUUUUUAUCAUAAAACCCUAAUUUCAAAAUUCUUGCAAUUUAGUCUCCACUAUGUAGAACUAUUAGCUUCUUUUACAAUUUAAUCCUUCAAUCAAUUCUAACUAAAAAUUCAUUCAAUUAAACCUCUAAUUCAACAAUUUGUUUAACAUAUAUCAUGUUCAAAAACCUAAAGAAAACUUCCAAAACCUCAACUUGAUUUCAACAAAACUCUAUUCUAAAGCUUCUAAAACAUCAAAAUUGAAAGAAAAGGGCUUAAUUGACUUACCUAUUACAAAAGGACUUUAGAGGAAAAAGGAUGCCAAAUUAGGAAGGACCUUACGUGGUAAAGAAUGCCUUUUCUAAAGGAGCGUUGAUAUUAACCAAGAUGGAUGGCAAGAACCUGCCUAAUCCUGUGAAUUCGGAUUCAGUCAAGAAGUACUUCACCUAAAAAAAAGGGAGAGGCCAAGGCAAAAACCCGCAAAUGGCGCCUUGAGACCAAAGGGGUUUUGAAUUGAAAACCCAAGAAAAGGGCAAUUCAAAUUUUGAUCAAAGGUGGGGCAUACGGUAGUCUUACUAUGCCUGAAUUAGCAGGAAGGAUGGAUGCUACAUCUUGGGACAUCAACAAAAUACUCUGGAUCUUCUAAACACGUAUCAAGUUUAAAGGGCCCUCGAGAAGUUUUGUGUAGAAAAGCUCAUGCUACGAUAUCUGAGGCACCUAUUUUCAUCUUAUUCAUUUCGUAUCUUAGCAAAAUUUGCUAUCUUGAUUAAUUCAUUCAUUUCAAACUUUGCUCUCAAUAAAAUUUCAUCUUGUCCAUUGUACUAAUCUUGUUCAAGCAUUUUUCAUUGAAAUAACGAUUAAUGGACUAAUAAUAUUCAAGCAGAAAGAGAUUUGCAUAUUACUCUGAAAGCUUCUAAAUAGUACGAGAACCUGAAACAUGACUAUUAUUUAGAACUCACCAAACCUAAGGGUUGGAAAUAUUGAGAAAGAAGAUUCUAAAUUGUGACUAUUUCUUUAGAUUUUCUGUCAAAGAUAUCAGCUGAAGAAGAAGACAGGAUAUUGCGUCAAUGAUAGAAUCUUGAUAAACAACGAGCAAUAAUAACCCAGACAUUAAAAAAGGAUCAUUCUCAUGACAUUCUGCAUUCAUACAAAUAUCAUUCAUAUACAUCCAAUUAGGAGCAUUUGAUUCAUUCUGAUCAUGACAUCCUAAUCAUUUGGCACAAACAUAGGCCCAUGAAAUGAAUUUUACAGGUCAUGUUAUCCAGAGAAUAGUGAAAUAGAUCAAUGGAGUUACAAAUCCCAUACCCCUGAAGUUACAGUGGGAUAGAUUGAAGUCAUUAUGGCGAAUCUUAUCUUCCUGAAAUUGCAGUGGAAUAGAUUGAAGCCACCAGCCUUAUCUCCCUGAAGUUGCAGCAGAGCAGACUAAAGAUAGCGAAUCUUAUUUCCCUAAAGUUGCAGUGGAAUAGAUUGAAGCUAAAUUGCAGAUCUUAUCUCUCUGAAGUUGCAGUAGAGUAGAUCAUAGCUAACCUUAUCUCCCUGAAGUUGUAAUAGAGCAAGUUGAAGUUAUAGGUCUUAUCUCCCUGAAGUUGCAGUGGAGCAAACUAAGGGUAGCAAAUCUUAUUUCCCUGAAGUUGCAGUGGAACAGAUUAAAAGCUACAAAUGACAAGUCUUAUCUCCCUGAAGUUGCAGUAGAGCAAACUAAAGAUAGUGAAUCUUAUCUCCCUGAAGUUGUAGUGAAGCAAGUUGAAGACAACAAAUCUUAUCUCCCUGAAGUUGUAGCAGAGUAGAUUUAGGCUACAAUUCUUAUACCCCUAAAGUUGCAGUGGGUUAGAACAAGGCUACUUGAAGAAGAGGAACACCAAAGAAGUUGAGAUUUGGCGAGACCGGGCAAAAUUGGUCACUCUUAAAAGUCUUUACUCCAUUCUCGUUACACAACGACGAGCAAAGAGGGGCAGCUGUAAUGAUCCAUUUUUGCCCGGACCCAAAACUAAAUAAAUAAAACCCAAAAUAAAAAAUAAACAGUCCAUAGUCAAAAAAAUUACAAGCCCAAAUGCCCAAUAAUAAUAAAAAAACCUAAAGGCCCGAUUGUCCCACAACUUAAACAUUUCAGCAAAAACCCUAACUCCCCCAACCCUAGGUGCGCCGCACCUAGGUACACCCCUAGCCACCGUUGCAUGCACACCAGCCUCCUCACGCGCGCUACCACCGCUGCACGCCAUCACCAUGCUCGUCUAACACUUCCAAAAAAAAUUUGAAUGCAACAACAGAGAAGUAUGCGAGCAACAAUAGCAGUAAAUAGCAAACAGACAAAGAUUAGAAACAAACAGUCUUGAUCCGGCUAUAAAAGACUAAAUUACACAAUGUGUUGUUUAGGUUAAUUUUUUUAUAAUAAAGACUAAAUGGAUAUAAUUUAUAAAUGUUGAGGGUUAAAGUCGUUAUCAUGUCAAUUUUAAAAGUAUCCACCUUUAGCCAACUGGUGGCCCAAAAAGAUAAAAUUAAAUAGUUAUGAGAUUAUUUUUUAACUUUUCAUAGUUGAAUGACCAAAAAAGAUACUAUUACUUACGUGAUUACUAGUGUAAAUUACCCUUAUUAUUAUUAAAAGAAAUAAAUUCAUUAAUAUUGCUAGUUCAUGUGCUACCCAUUAUCAAACCUUCUUGCGUGGUGAAAUAGACAUAAUUUGUUGAGGGAUAAAAACAAUAUAAAUAAUAUUUUUCAUCUUAUUAUAGAGUAUUUUUAAAUUAAAUAUUGUUGAACAACUUUUAACUUUUGGAAAAAAAUAUUUGAAGUGUCGUUUGUUGGGCAUCUAGUCAAAUUCUCAACAAUGGUUAGUAAUGUUCCAAAUAAGGUUUUGCCUUUUGUAUUUGCCAAAGGUCCUAAAGGGUUCAUGAAAGGGGAACAUCUCAUUUGGUAGAAAUACAACAUGCAUUGCUCAUGUAAGAAUCCAUUUUUAGUGGUACUGGAAACGACGGUUUCAGAAUCUCAUUUUUUGAUGAUUGAGUUUGUGAAUAUUAUUUUCUAAUAUUUACGAGUUUAUCUUAGUGUCAUAUGAUUUUUUGUCCUGAAAUUUUAGUGAAACGAUUAGUAAUUAAAGUAUAAGGACUAAACCAUAAAAACCUUAAAGAGUUAAUUGUUAUUAAUUUUAUUGGUUUAAAGGCUUGAAAAGUAUUAAGCCAAGUGUUGAAAUGGCAAAUUACUCUUUUUAAUAGAUAGUGUACGGUUUGGUAAGCUUUGUUUACUAAAUCAUGCAAAUUUUAUAAUUAAUAAAAUAAAAUGACAUGAGAUAAUAAUAGAACAUAUUGAAGUGGAACGAAAGAGGGAAGGGCUAUUUCAUUUUUUUCCUUUUUUCAUUCAUCUUCUUCACGAAACAAGAAGAAAGAAUUAGGGAUCUUAAAGUCGAAAUUUUGGCCUUGUGCAUGGUACGAAAAUUUAAUUCUUUUCUUGUAAUUUUUAUAUUUUUGAGAUCGUUUUAUUUUGAUUUAGAUAACUCGGGUAUUAAAUCGUAAAACUAUUAAAGUUUUAAAAAGUUACCAUUGUUGUUCUUUGAAGCUUUUGAUGUUCAAUAGAUGAAUGUUAAGCUUGGAAAUGAAAUGGGGACUAGUUUGUAAAGAAAAAUUGGUUAAUUUUGACUCUAGGAACUAAAAUGCAAUUAUUUCAAAACUAUCAUGGAAUUUCUAUACUUAUGGCUUUUAGUGAGUUAUAAAAUGAAUAAAUUAAAAACGGAGUUAAAAACAGAGCUUAAAUGUGAAUGAUAUGAUUGUUUCAGUUUUAAGAACUAAAUUGAAUAAAAUGUGAAACUUUAAAAUUUUAAAAAAAAUAAAGAAAAUAGAUCCAUGCAUAUCAUAUUAUGAUAUUAAAUUUUUGGAAUUGAUAAAUUAAAUUAGAAUUAUUAUAUAGAUCAAGAAUUAAAUCAAUCGAAAUAUAAAAGCAGAAAAAAAUUAUAGAUUAAUUUUAGAAUCAUAUUUAAGUAAGUUCAUAUGUGUUAAUUUAUAUUGUAUUUGUUUCCCUCUCUACAUGGGGAACUUUAUGAUGUUUGGUUUCUUCUUUGAACCAAAAGAAAAGCUAAGAAAAAGAGAAAAAUUAAAGAUAAAGGUGAGGCAAUAAAAGUUACAGGUGAGACAAUAAGGCAAAUCUGAUUAUAUGAUCUACAAUUUACAAAGUAGGGUUAGAGUGAUUAUAAGUGUCCUAUAAAAUAUAAUAAAAUAUUAAAUAUAAAUUUAUAAAUUAAAUUAGAUACAGAACAAUUUUUCAAGUUUACUUGUGGAAUUGAAAAAAGUAUAUUACCAAUUUACACAAUACUCAUAAUUGCUGUUAUAUUAUUAUAAUAUACUUGAAAUUCAAAAAGAUUUUUUUAUUGAAAAAAAAUAAAUACUAAUUAGUUAUGUAUCCAGUUUUAUUUUCUUAUACCAUUAGGAAAAGACAAGUGAAGAAGAAUCGUCCAUAAAUUUGCAGUUAAUAGUUAAUGGUUCCAAUUUAUUUGUCCUGAAUUUUGACUUUUGUAACUGAGAAUCCACAUUUUCUUUUUCAAUAGAAAAGAAAGGGAAAGUUUUUAGAUAUUGUGUGUCUUGAGAAACUAUAACCAAUUGAAGGUAUGGACAUUAGAAAAGAAAGGGAAAGUUUUUAGAUAUUGUGUGUCUUGAGAUACUAUUGUAAUACCCCGAAAAUUUCUACAGUAAGGAAAGUAAGAUAAUAUCUCUGAUAUAGUAAAAUAAGAAAAUAAAGUGCUAAAAAGGGAUAAUUUUGAGUUAUGGCAAUAUUGGGAAGUAAAUUAUAACAUAUUAAUUCAAGAAAGGAUUAAAUCGCAAAACUGAGAAAAGUUUUGUUACCCAAGAGUAAAUACUUAAAAGUUGAGGGGUUAAAGUGUAAAUAUGAAAAAGUUGAAGGACCAAUGGUGUUAAUAUUUUAAGGGUGGAAUAAUCUAGAAACUAAGAAAAAUGGAUGGAUUAGGAGCAAAUUGAAAAAGGUGAAGAAGUUUGAGGGACUAAAUCACAAUUUUACCAAAUUAAGUGAUGACUCAAGGAUGAAAUUUUAAAAGAUCAUAAAGGGCAAAAUGGUCAAUUAUAAGAGAGAGAAAUCUAGAAGAUAAUGAUGAUGUUGGAGAUAUUUUAGAUUAAUAAAUAAAUAAAUAAAUAUUAGUUUAUUAAUAUUUUAAUUUGAUUUUUUUAAAAUGAUAUUAUUUUAUUAUUAAUUUAUUUAGUAUAUAUAUGUGGAAAGAAGGAUGAAAAGUAGCCAUCCCCACCUUUUUUGCAUGCAUUAACGUGAGAAGAAGAGGGGAAGAAAGAAAGCUUUGCUUUCUUUACAAUUUGGUCCUUUCACCAAAAAUCCACCAUUUUUACUUAGAAAUCAAAGAAAUUUCCAUUGCCACCAAGAGAGAAAAUUGACAAAGAGACUAUGGGGAGCUAGAAUAUCAAGUUAGAUUCAAGAAAUAGAGGCUGGAGGAGAGAGAAAAUCAAGUUAAAGAUUGAAGUCAAUUGAGCAAGGUAAGAACAUCAUGAUUUCAAUAUAUUUUUGAGUUUGAUAUUAUCGAAAAAGUGUGAGAUUGAUGUUAAUGUAGGGUUUUAUUAUAUAAAGUUAUAUGUUCUUGAUAUGUUAGUGAAGAGAAAAUAAGAAAAAGUGUUGAGAAAUAGUGUAAAAAAAAAAGAAAAUAAGAGUGUUAUAGACUUAGUAAUCAAUAUUCUCCACUAAAGCAGUUUUGGAUAGUAGCAGUAGGUUAACUUUGAAAAAUCACCAUAAAUUGUGGAAAUCGAAUUAUAGGAUGAAUAAAAUAUGAAAUUAAAGCUUAUUGAGUCUAGUUUCACAUAGAAGAAACAGUGUAAGCAAUGAAAUUAUAAAUUAUGAGAUAUAAUAGGUUAUGUGAGAUACAGUCAGAAUGAUUUUGAGUUCCCCUGUUCUGACUUUGGAAAAUCAUUAAAAAUUUUAAAAAAAUAAUUAUGGGAUAAACUUUAUAUUAUUAGAAUCCUUGAUGAGUAUAUUUUCAAAUAAAACAAAUAGAAAUAUCAUCCGAAUUCUGUACAAUUAGAUAAUUCAUUUUUAGUGAAGAGUGGUUGGAACUAUCAGACAGUGAAACAGGGGAAACUUUAAAGAAUAAACUGUACCAUUUGGCUGAACCAAAAAUUCUGAAAAUUUUAUGGCAAGAAUAUAUGUGAGUCUAGUUUCAGGUAAUUAACGGAUCUUAAUUUGGAUUUCUGUAGCUCAAGAUACAAAUAAUUUAGUGACUAUGACUCAAAUGGACAGCUUUGAAUAAAUUUUCAAGAAAAUAGUGAAAAUUAUAGACAAUAUUACUUAUAAGCAUGUUAUAUAAAUUAAGGAUGUGGAAUGGAAGAGGAGGAGGAGGAAAAUAAAUGUAUGAAUAUUAUGCUAUCAUGGAUUUGCAUUACAAAUGGCUAAUUUGCAUGAUUUGGGUUCGAGGACUAAAUUGAAUAAAAGUAAAACUUUAGGGGUAAUUUUGAAAAAAUGUCAAAAAUGACCAAUUUGCAUGAAAUGAGUUGUUUUAUUAAAAUGAAAAAUUAAUUUAGAUCAAGAUCGGGUAGAAAAUCGAGAAAAUGAAAAAUUACCAAAAUGCUCUUGUAUUUUAGUAUUUUUACAAUUUAGCCCGGUAAGUUCGUGUAUCUUGAAUUAUAUGUUUAAAUGCUUGAAAUGUAUUUUUAUUGAUGUGAAUAUGAUUUGGAUGUUUAUUGUAUGAUAAUUGAUGAAGUAUUGAUAUUCUUGAUGAAAAGAGAAAAUAAAUUUCGGUUGAAUGAAAGGAAAAUUCGAUGGAUCUCUGAAAAGGAAUUGACGGUAAAAAGGAUCUAGCCCGGACGGGUGAUCCUAUCCUGAUAUAGCCCUCCUGAAGAAUAUGUGUGAAAAAGAUCUAGCCCGGACCGGUGAUCUUGAUAUAGCCCUCCUGAAGAAUAUGUGGAAAAUGGAUUUAGCCCGGACGGGUAAUCCAAAUUAGGGUCUGAAUUUAGCCUGGACUGGUAAGUCAAAUCCAAGCUCAUUAGAGUAAUUUUCGUUGCAGGGGAUUUAGCCUGGACUGGUAAUCCCGACAAUACUCUAUGAAUUUAUAUUACAGGGGAUUUAGCCUGGACUGGUAAUCCCGCUGUAAGGAUGAGGUUCGCGGGAGUGUGCUAUCUUGCAGGGGAUUUAGCCUGGACUGGUAAUCCCGCUGUAAGGAUGAGGUUCACAGGAGUGUGCUCUCUGAAAUGGAAAUGUGCGCACAUGAAUAUGAAUUGACGGACCCGGAAUUGUACACUAAAAGUGUACCUCUAAAAAUCCAUCGAAUUUCUGAGAAAUUCAACGGGAUAAAUAUGGAAAAUAAUAAGGGUAUUAGAAAAUAUGGAAUUGAAUUAUUAUUGGUAUUGAUCUGAAAUAAAUGUAACCAUUGAUAUUUAAAUGAUAUAACGGGUAAAGUUUUAAAGUGAGAUAACAUGAAUUUGAAAUGAACUAUUACUGGUAUGUACAAAAUUCAUGAAAAUGAUGGUACCUGAAUUAUCGAAAUAAUGAAAUGGAAAUGAAGCAUUAAAUUGCAUGAGUAUGUAUCGGGUUUCGUAGGCCCUAAUUAUUAUGAUCAUAAUAUUUUGAGGAUAUAUUAUGAAAAAUUAUAAAAGCAUGUUAAUAAUUUUGAAAAUUUUAAUUUAGAUGAAAUUUAUAACUCAGUUAAAUACGUUUACAUUCGUAUGGGUUCUGGUAAUGCCUCGUACCCUAUUUCGGUGUUGACUACGGGUAAGGGGUGUUACAACUAUAACCAAUUUAUUUUCUUAUACCAUUAGAAAAAGACAAGUGAAGAAGAAUUGUCCAUAAAUUUGCGGUCAAUAGUUAAUGGUUCCAAUUUAUUUGUCUUAAAUUUUGACUUUUGUAACUGAGAAUCCACAUUUUCAAUAGAAAAGAAAGGGAAAGUUUUUAGAUAUUGUGUGUCUUGAGAUACUAUAACCAAUUGAAGGUAUGGAUCCGAUCUAAAAAUGAAAAAGAAAAGGGAGAUACUCUCCUUUUUUUUGUUUGUAGCCUUCUGGCGACAUGGCCGAGCGGUAAGGCAGGGGACUACAAAUCCCUUAUUCCCCAGUUCAAAUCCGGGUGUCGCCUGAUCAACAAAAAACUCGAAAUCUUAACGUCUCCUAACGUCUAGGAUUCAAGGAAAAACUAAAGUAGUGGAAGGGAAUCAAUAAAUCUUGAUAUGGGAGCCCCCCUUACUAAUGGAGUGGCUACUAGAGGAGUCUUGAAUUAGAUUGGAUAACAGGAAUGUCUAAUUAACACAACAUUUAAAAGUGUAUUAUAAAAAAAAAAGUACACACACAAUAUUCAACACAACAAUUUUUCUGAUUUUAAUGUUCAACCCUGACGUAGGGCCUCCUUGAUCAUUCUAUCAAAGUUGGUAAUAGAAGAUCCUCCAACGCUAAUGGCAGAUUUAGCUUUUUUCUUCCAUUCCAAUGCCUUUUGCCUUAUCCUUUGCCCAUUAUCUCCUUCCAUUAUCUCUUUAACAAGAGCCUCCACAUCCUUACGCUUUACGUCAGGGUUGAUUUCCAUUCCAUUGCCCCAUGUGGUGCACGAAUAUCGACAAUUCGUUUGUUGAUCACCAAAGAAAGGCCAACAUAUUAAAGGCACUCCUUCGGACACAGCUUCCAACAGAGAAUUCCAUCCACAAUGUGUCAAGAAAACGCCAAUUGCUAGGUGGGACAACACUUGCUGUUGGGGACACCAGCUUGUUAUGAAGCCCUUUCCUUUUAUUGCCUCCAUGAAUUCUCUUGGCAAAAUAGCCGAUUCGCCCAUCACAACACCAGGCCUAAUUACCCAUAAAAACGGGUAUUUACUAUUUGCAAGUCCCCAAGCAAAUUCUUCCAAAUGAUGGUUAGACAUCACUGUUACACUCCCAUAAUUCACAUACACCACCGACUUGGGUUUCAUUGUGUUAAGCCAUUCGAUGCAACUUGUAUCCUCCUUCCAUAGGCUUGAAUUUAGUGAGUUAUGUUGGAUUUCAAGUAGGUUCCUACUUAGGGAGGUGAGUGGACCAAUUGCAUAAAUAUUAGGGGACUUGGAAGCAAUUACUUGUAGCACUUCUUUCUCGAACUCAUCGAAUGUGUUAAAGAUUAUUGAAGAAGAUUCUAAGCAUUCUUGUGAUACUUCCAUGAGGUAAUUAAACAUGGUGUCUUCGGGGUCGGUGGUUCUUAUGAAGCUUGGAAGGUCCUUGAGGCGCAUGUUAGGCAUACCAGGGAUCCAAUCAAUGGCCAUCUCAAGUGUCCCAUCGCUAACAAAGCCUUCAUCUACAAGGAAAAUAAAACGCAUAUUUUUGUUUCAAUAUGCAAAAGAAUAUGCAUGGACGUGCGUGUAACAUAUAGAACCUCAAAGAGAUUAUUAUGAAUGAACAUAAAGCACAAAGAAAACAUAAAAUUUGUAACCGGAAAUCAGGCAGACCCUUAACUGCUUCUUCCCCUCUAGACCGUAUCAAUCGUCUAUGAUUGAACUCGGUGUUGACAAAGGUUAUAUGGAAGCCUCUAGAGUGCAAGAGCUUGGCCAGUUGCAUCAUGGGGUUAACAUGACCUUGUGCUGGGAAUGGAAGACAUACUGCAUGCGAUUUAAUUAAACCCAUCUUUCUGCAAAUAAUAACUAAGCAAUGAAGUCAAGUAGCUGGUGAAAAUUGAAGAUACUAUACAUGAGUAUUCCUUCCUAACUAGUGGCGGGGAUAAAGAAAAACAGGAUAACGCUGUUGGUAAUUAUGGUGUAAAAUAAUUGUCAUUGGACGAGGUUGAGAAAAUAUCAGCUGCUUCUUAAGAAUUUUGAUAGGUUGCUGCAUUCGCAAGAGAAAUGAUAGUAUGACGUCAUCUUUAUCUCUUUCCAAUAGGAGAAUUAUAAAUUAGAUUUUUUCUUGAUUUUUAGCAAUUUUAGUUAGAUUUGAUUUUUGUUAGGAAAAAAAAUUAAAAAUCAAGAGAAAAAAUUCUGAUUUAUCAUUCUCCAAUUAGAAAAAUAUAAGGAAAUCACAGUUCAUACAAUCCCUUCUCGUAUUGGUAAUAAAAAAUUUUAAAUUGUCCUUAGUAGUUUACUUUUGAAAUUCACAAUAAUUAAAUUGCUUUAAUUUUUUUAGAGAGACCAAUUUGUUCAAUAUUGAAAUUGAGAAGGACUGGAGCGGUCUUUUUACCUUUUUCUUUUUUGUCUUAAAAUUUGUUUUAAAUAUAUAUAAUUGUUUUAAAAAUAAAUAUAUAAUUAUAUAAUACAUAAAUACUUAAAAAUAAAUCUAUGUAUUUAUUUUUAUCCGAUAGACUAAUAAAAAUAUUUAUUAUAUAAUUCAUAUAAAUUAACUAAAAAUAAAAAUAUUAUUUGGAACAAUAUUAUCAUUUUUAUUUAUUAUAAAUAGAAUUUUAUACACAAACACUUUCAAAGUUAAAAUAAUAUCCUCCUAGUAUGAUGUUAUUAUUUCUCAAAUAACAUUUGGCAUUAUUAUAAAGAAAUGAAUAUAAAAUACAACUUCUUUACUUAUGCUAAUACAUAAAGGUUCAUAAAUUCAUAAACGAGCAAAUAAGAAACUCAUUAAAAAGUUAUAACCUCAAUGGAAAUAUAUGUAUGUGUGUGUAAUACUUGUUACAACAAUCUUUGUAUGCUGGGGUUGUGGUUGUGGUUUAUAACUCAACAUUUAUAAAUUAUGUCAAUUUAGUCUUGAUUUUAAAAAAAUUAACCUCAACUUUUACACAUUGUGUAAUUUGAUCAUUUUUACAAUUUUACUUUACUUUUUUCCCUUUUCACCUAAAAAGCUAAAAAAACCAAAUGUAUCAAUUAAAUUUAAUUAAAAAUAUAUAAUAAAAACAAGAUGAAAACACUCAAAAAUUUAAGAUAAUAAUUUUCAUAUUAUUUUAAAAUUAAACCUCAAUGUCACGAAACUACAAAAAAAAAAUUUUAAAAAGAGACCAAAUUAUACAAUGUGUUGUUUAGGGUUAAUUUUUUUUUAGAAUAAAGACUAAAUGGACAUAAUUUAUAAAUGUUGAGGAUUAAAGUUGUUAUUAUGUCAAUUUUGUAAUUUUUCAUAGUUGAACGACAAAAAAAAUACUAUUACUUAAGUGAUUACUAAUUUACCCUUAUUAUUAUUAAAAGAAAUAAAUUCAUUAAUACUGGUAAAACGUUAAAUCAAACAAUGUGUUGCUAUUAACAAAAGCAUAAUGGAGCUCAACAGAGAGGCCCUUCCAUCCAUUCCAACCCUUGCAAGUUCAUGAGCUACCCAUUAUCAAACCUCCCUACGUGGUGAAAUACAUAUAAUUUGUUGAGGGAUAAAAACAAUAUAGAUAAAAACAUUAUAAAUAUUCUUUUUCAUCCUAUUAUAGAGUAUCUUUAAAUUCAAUAUUGUUGAACAACCUUUUAACUUUUUCGAAAAAAGUAUUCCAAGUAUCACUUGUUAAGCAUAUAUGGUUAAAUUUUCAAUAACGGUUAGUAAUAUUCUCAGUAGGGUUUUGUUUUUCGCCUCUAUCAAGGAUCCUAAAGAGUUCAUGAAAGGGGAACAUCUCAUUUAGUGGAAAUACAACUUGCAAUGCUCACGGGAUAAUUAUCAGUGUGUAAUAUUAAUUAUAAGAUACACUUGAGAGCUAAAGGACUCAAACUACUAGCAAAUUAUAUCUCUACCAAUUGAGGUGUCCACUCUUGUACUUUUCAAGAGUCUCCGCGGAGAAAAAAAACAAAACUACUACACAAAAAUAAUAUUUACUAUUGCUAAAAUUUUAAUUAAUUAUCUGAUAAAUAACACUUUAAAACCUCUCUCCAAGGGAUAAGAUCGCCUUCCCAGCAAAUUCAAUACAUUUAAUAUAAUACAAUAGAUUUAUUAUAUAUAUAUAUAGUAUGUGUUUUGCUCUCUACGGAGAGAACUUUAUGAUGAUUGGUUUUUUCUUUGACCCAAAAGAAAAACAAAGAAAGAGAAGACAAAUAAAAAAUAAAAGUGAGGCAAUAAAAGUAACAGGUGAAACGACAAAGGAAAUCACAUUAUGUUCUACAAUUUGGCACAUUAUAUUAAAAAAUAAUACUUUUCAAUAAACAUUAUAAUAUGCUUAAUAUAGAAUGAUAUAUUUAUUAAAUGUCUUAUAUUCUUUUUAUAGAUAAGAGAAAGCAAUACACGGUUUUAAAUCAAAUUAUUUAUACAUGAGAAUCAACUAAUAUGUCUUCUAAAAAGAGUCUCCUCACAUAAGGUGUAAGAACAUCAACAUAAAUAAAUUAACAUAUUAGGAAGACAUUAUUUGACUAGUCAAUUAGCAACCUUAUUCCGUUCCCUAUUCACGAAUUGGAACUUGACUGUUAGAACCUGACGAGAUAUUUCCUUGAUUUUCCUAACAAUAGUUAGAGAAGGUGAAAUGUCUUGUACUUAAAUUAUGAUAUUUGGUAAUGAGAUUUUGGGCAUGAGACUUUCAGAAAUUUAAAUUUUCUGGAUUCAUCUUGACAUUUGAUAAUUUAUUUUGUAUUUAUAUUUAAGGAGAUAUUUUGUACAGGGUUAAUUGGGUUGUUGGACUUUAGAAGUAGGUUUAGAGUAAUGAUAAGGAUCCUAUAACCUAUAGUAAAAUAUUAAAAAAUAAAUUUAUAAAAUAAAUUAAAUACAUAACAAUUUUUUUAAAUUUACUUGUGGAAUUAAAAAAAAAGUAUAAUAUUGAUUUAUCAAAUGCUAACUCAUUUAUUUAAUAGUAUAAUAUAAAAUUAAGAAAAACAUACACAAAACAUACAACACAACAGUAUUCUGAUUUUAAUGUUCAACCUUGACGUAGGGCCUCCUUGAUCAUUCUAUCAAAGUUGGUAAUAGAAGAUCCUCCAACACUAAUGGCAGAUUUAGCUUUUUUCUUCCAUUCCAAUGCCUUUUGUCUUAUCCUUGGCCCAUUAUCUCCUUCCAUUAUCUCUUUAAUAAGAGCCUCCACAUCCUUACGCUUUACGUCAGGGUUGAUUUCCAUUCCAUUGCCCCAUGUGGUGCACGAAUAUCGACAAUUCGUUUGUUGAUCACCAAAGAAAGGCCAACAUAUUAAAGGCACUCCUUCGGACACAGCUUCCAACAGAGAAUUCCAUCCACAAUGUGUCAAGAAAACGCCAAUUGCUGGGUGGGACAACACUUGCUGUUGGGGACACCAGCUUGUUAUGAAGCCCCUUCCUUUUAUUGCCUCCAUGAAUUCUCUUGGCAAAAUAGCCGAUUCGCCCAUCACAACACCAGGCCUAAUUACCCAUAAAAACGGGUAUUUACUAUUUGCAAGUCCCCAAGCAAAUUCUUCCAAAUGAUGGUUAGACAUCACUGUUACACUCCCAUAAUUCACAUACACCACCGACUUGGGUUUCAUUGUGUUAAGCCAUUCGAUGCAACUUGUAUCCUCCUUCCACAGGCUUGAAUUUAGUGAGUUAUGUUGGAUUUCAAGUAGGUUCCUACUUAGGGAGGUGAGUGGACCAAUUGCAUAAAUAUUAGGGGAUUUGGAAGCAAUUACUUGUAGCACUUCUUUCUCGAACUCAUCGAAUGUGUUAAAGAUUAUUGAAGAAGAUUCUAAGCAUUCUUGUGAUACUUCCAUGAGGUAAUUAAACAUGGUGUCUUCGGGGUCGGUGGUUCUUAUGAAGCUUGGAAGGUCCUUGAGGCGCAUGUUAGGCAUACCAGGGAUCCAAUCAAUGGCCAUCUCAAGUGUCCCAUCGCUAACAAAGCCUUCAUCUACAAGGAAAAUAAAACGCAUAUUUUUGUUUCAAUAUGCAAAAGAAUAUGCAUGGACGUGCGUGUAACAUAUAGAACCUCAAAGAGAUUAUUAUGAAUGAACAUAAAGCACAAAGAAAACAUAAAAUUUGUAAC